AACUUGAAAAGUGUAAAAAGAGUGGGUAAUGAGUUUUUGGGAAUAGAAGAAAGCAGUGAGGAUGGCCCAUCUUCAUCUUCAUCGUCACCAUCAGUUUUUGCCUUCCCCAAAUUGAAAUCACUCGAAAUUCACGGAAUGGAAGAAUUGGAAGAGUGGAAUUACAGGAUUACGAUGAAGGAAAACAUCUCCAUCAUGCCCCGUCUUUCUUUCUUGGAAGUUAGUUCUUGCAACAAAUUAAAGGCGCUGCCGGAUUACCUUCUUCAAACGACGGCACUGCAGGAACUGAGUAUUUGUUCUUGUGAUCUUCUAGAAGAACUGCCCAUUCUAGAAGAUCGCAGGACAACAGACAUACCACGUCUUACUUCUUUGUGGAUUUCUGAUUGCCCCAAUUUAAAGGUGCUGCCGGAUUACCUUCUUCAAACACUGCAGCUAUUGAUAAUUUUGGGCUGUGACCUUCUAGAAGAACAUUAUAGAGAGGGGAAAGGAGAAGACUUGCAGAAGAUAUCUCACAUUCCCCACAUCAAGUGGUCACCGUAAGAUAUCACUCGCCGGUAAUUUCUCCUCCUCCUCUGAUUUACUUCGUUGUUGCUUGCAAUGAAAUUAAUAAAAAUAAUUAUAUUUUAAAUUAAAAUUCUAUAUAUUGCCAAUGUCUGACAAGAAUAUAUAAUAUUUUUCUAAUAUUUUGAUUUGCAUAUUGAAUUUUGUUUACUUUAACCAUUAAUUUAAUGGGUCACUUUAUGAUGCUGUUAUAAAAAUUAUAGAAUCAAUCAUGGUAUAUAUAUUUUAAUUUAAGUUAUUUAAAAUUUAAACUUCCUAGUUAUCAAAUUUAAACUUCCUUAACAUCAUGCAAAAAUAAUCAUCAUGUCUUUUAGCCGAAGGAUUGCUAAAAUGUUCUGCUGGUAAUUCACUUGCUUUAUUUUAUAGAAUUUCAUUUCCAUCUUCUUCUAUUGAUAUCUUGUUGUGAAUAAACAAGAACAGAGAAGUAAAUAAUUGAACCACAGAGAAGUAAAGAUAUAUGAAAGUUCGCUAUUGUGAUGGUGUUAAAGCAAGCUCAAGCUCAAGCAUUGCAUUUUUAUUUUAUUUUAUUUUUAGAAUUUUCAUUUCCACCUGCACUGCAUUUUCAUUUCAUUUUUAGGUUGACUUUGAAGACUCUAUGGAGAACAUUAGGGUAACCAAGGAUUAUCACUAUGGUUAUUGUGCAACGUUUGGUUGCUGGACUUUGAAGAAGGAAGCGAUGGCCGGGUCCGCUCUGUUUCAAUUGAGGAUGGACAGCUGCCUGAAAGACAUGAUGAUUAUUUUUGCAUGAUGUUAAGGUGCUAAGAUCAUCAUUUAUAUCUUGUUUCAUUCUUGGAAUCAUUUAUCCUAUAUAAACAUAUUGAAUUGUGCUAAUAUUAUCAUAUGCUUCAAUGGAGGCAGGAAUUUGGUGUUGACACUACUAUGCAGGUAGCCACACUUCAUAGUUGGCACAAAUUUGCGUUGUCAGAAUAUCCUUUAAUAUUCAUUGUGUUUCUUUGCGUUAUCAGGUUAUCAUCUCCAAGGGUUUGAAAGAGUCUUUGCAGUAAAGGCAGUUGUCACCAGCUCGUGCAAUUGCACAGUCAUUCAGAGUACUUCAAUAUUGGGUUUUCAAGUUUUGUAUGUUUAGUCGAUUAAAAUGUUUAGUCACUCAUUCUUAAUCCUUUUUUCUGAUUUUCAAGUUCUUUAGGGCCAUAAACAGUUUUUCAAACUCAUUAUUAUUUUUUAGGUUGAUUUCCUACUCGUGGAGAACAUUGGCAAGUCCAAGGAUUAGGCUGGCGAUGGAACUACUACCUCUGUUGUUAUUGUGCAAGGUUUGAUCGCUGGACCUUGAACAAGAAUGCCUUACACACAUUCUGUAAUUGAAGCGUUCUCUAAAGCAAAAGAGCAGUAGAAGGAAUAGUGAUGGCCGGAUCUGCUCUUUCUUAAUUGAAGAUGUCUGUGAUGUUGAGGAGCUUAAAGCAGUUAAUGCUCUUUGAAAAUUGUUAUUACAGAUGAAUUGAUUCCUGAAGACGAGUAUCUAAUGAUUGUUAAGGCGUAUUUUCAUGAACUUCCUUUCUUAACAAAUGUUUCAAUGCUGGCUGUAGUAACAAUUUCAUAUCUUGCAUCUCCCGGGUGCAUCAUGUUCACGGGUUUGAAAAAGCAUUUGUGGUAAUGCUUCAAAGCUUGUACAAUGUCUCCCAAUGCUAAUAUCAUAUUUUGUAUGGCAAUUAAAAUUUAGCUAUACAAUCUUAAUAUGCAAUAAAUCAUUGUAUACAAAGUUUUCUAUUGAUUAUAUGGUGACUGAAAUUAGAUUGGAGAAGAAUAAAAAGAUACUGUUAAAAGGUUAUUUAAUUAGCGCCCUCUGAAUUUCUUGGAGUUAAUGUAGUCAAUUGCCCAAUUUUGCUGCCUGUGGAAGAUACACAGUAUGGAGUCCUCAUCAAACUCUGAGACACCUAAUAAAUAGUAGGAGGGGUUGGUAUUCGCCUGGUGUUAAUUUCCUGGCAAGUAUAGUUCACAGAUAAAGGGGUUCUUUUCUUGAUGUCUAAAUACCGUAUGUGAUACAACAUCGUGUAUUCCAAUUUUUCUCCAGUUAAAUUUUAAUAAGUUAGGAAAGUUAAUUUUGUUUUAGCAAUGAAUUGUUUUCUUAAUAAUAAUUGCCAUGUUCCUCUGAAGUCUUAUUAAUGCCAAACCAACAACUACUAGGUUCAUCUCUCGUUCACUUCCUCAGGGAUUCUCGAGGGCAUUCUUUGGCAGGUAGUCUUUCUUGUUGAGCUCCUGGAAUUACUUUUAAUUUAUCAUCUGUUGGGUUUUGCUUUUUGAUUGCUUUGUGAUUUGUGUUUUUAUCGCUUUGUCGCUCAUUAAUCUUGGCUGUUUUGAAUCUGUGUUGGAUUUAGACGUUUGGAGUUGAAAACAGUUAAAGCUUAGACUAGUAGAAGAGAUUUAUACAUUCAUUUAUCUUGGACAAAGUUUUUGGGGGAAAAGAAAAAUUAUAAGUAUACACUUUCCAAUGGUUCGGUGAUGUUUGAUUGGUUUAAAGAUGUUGGAUCUCUCAUCAGAUUUCUUAUGUAUCGACUGCUGUUGCCACAGGAUGCUCGCAGAUCCUGCUUUUUUGUAUAAACUUCUACCAGAGCAGGCUGCCACAAUUGGUUGCACUGUUUUGUGGGAGUUGGAGAAUCACAAGGAGAGGUGUUUUUUCUCUCAUAACAAAGGAACUCUCCCCUUCCUUUUUAUUCUCAUUUUAUAUAUUAAGCUAAUAAAUGUUUGUUUCUGUUGUGAUGGGAUAAAGCAAGAAUGGGAUCUUUGCCCUAAUAAAUGUGCUCACAGUAACAGCAUGUAAUGCUUUUGUUGUUUGGUCGCUUGCUCCUUGUCAUUCUUAUGGAAACACCUUCCGGUUUGACUUGCAAAUUACAUUACAAAAGCUCCCAAACAAUAUAUUUGAACGGCGGUACCCAUUUCGAGAAUUUGACUUGCAAAAGAGAAUCCACUCCCUUUUUUACAAGGCUGCAGAGUUGUGUAUGGUGGGAUUAAGUGCAGGAGAAGUGCAAGGUUCUUUGUCAAACUAUCUUGCUGGUAAAAAGGACAGGUAAACAUGGUUGCAAAACUUCCUUUUCAUUCCUCGUUCACUUAUUCGUUAUAAAUAAAGAAAACUUAGAAGAUUGUUCUGUUUACUGUCUAAGCCAGUUUAACAUUUAUUAAAUUACCCUUGUAAAAGAGAAUCCACUCCCUUUAAUGUCUGACAGGUUAUCUGUGACAAACAUGAGAUAUCAGCUAUUGUGUGGAUUUGAUAGAGCGGUCAUCAACCAUUUUGAUGUUAUUGGAGUAGUACUGUUCUUAAGCACUGCUUUGAGGUCUCUCCCUCUAUCUCUUUUACGCAUUUGUUUAUUGAUCUACAUCUCUAUAUACAUUGAUAGACUAAUCUGGUCGUACCAAAUUACCCUUGUUUUAAUGUUUUGUUUGUUAAACUUUGACUGGGGAAUCUGUUUAUUUGUCUGAUAUGAUGUUAGUGUGGUUUCUAUUGAAGUGUGUAGAUCUAUCACCGAGUAUUAUUUCAAUUUUUCUUUGCUUAAUCAACUUGCAUCCUUUCCAAGUCCAGAUCCUUAACAAUAGCGAGACUUCGCUACGGAAGUACAAUUUCUCUAGUUUUACAGUUAAAUACGUAAGGAUGGUUUUAAAUUAACUGAACUCUGAGGUAGUUUUCUAAGGAAAUACAAGCGGUGAAUAUGGUUCCAAGUUUUAAGUGCCUUAAUUAACCCAUUUGUUCAGCCCUGUGCGUAAACAAUCAGUAAUCGCUGUCCAAAUUCUUCUUUACUGCCUAUAUGUGUUGGACUUUGUCUAUUGUUCAACUUCUCAAAUGGAUUCCAUGCAGGGUUCUUAAUGUCCAAUUAGGAGAAAGAUCAAGGCUUGCUUGGCAAGGAGUGGAAGUGGAUCCGCUACUUCAGUCAGAUGACCUUUUCAAGAAGGCUUACAACAGGCCAUCUCAGGAUGUCAAUGGCUCAACUCAAAAGUCCCCAAGGUGGUUGAUAUCAAAGAAUGCCAUUGUCUCUGGGCUUCGGCUCCUUGGCAUCAAACAAGGGAAUGUCGACUCUGUUGAAAUGGAAGCAAGGGCUCCUAAAGUGCGAAGAAAGAGGAUAGCCCGGAAGAAGGUGACCGCAUAAAUUUCUUGGGAGUUAAUCCUAGUCAAUAGCCCAAUUUUGCUGCCUGUCGAAGAGAUACAACACGGAAAUCCUCAUCAAACUCUUUGAGACAUCUAAGAACUUGUAGGGAGGUGGUGGUAUUCACCUUGUUUCCUGGCAAGAAAUUUAUGGAACUUAUCUUCUAAAAACCAGCCAUGGCUUCAAAUUCAAUCACCUCAACACUCCAAUAUUGGCUUGUAAACCACCCACAAAUCCUCAACUUCACAUGGACACAAAACCAAACCCCAGCUUCCUCCCCACACUUCCUCAUUCUCUCCAUCCUCACUUACCUCUCCCUCACAUUCAUCCUCUACCACACAUCAACAUCAACAUCACCACCAUCAUCACCUUUCAUUGGACCCCACAUCCUCAAGCCCAUCACAGCCGUCCAUAACCUCACCCUCCUCCUCCUCUCCCUCAUCAUGGCCGUUAGUUGCACUCUCUCCAUCAUCGUCCAUUUGCCCCACCUCCAUUACACCCUCUGUUUCCCCCCCACCAUUUCUCCGUCUGGCCCCCUCUUCUUCUACGCUUACCUCUUCUACCUCUCCAAAAUACUCGAAUUCGUAGACACCCUUUUGAUCAUUUUGUCAAACUCCGUCCAACGGCUCACGUUCCUCCACGUCUAACACCAUGCAACCGUCGUCGUAAUGUGCUACCUUUGGUUACAGACGAAGCAGUCUUUGUUUCCUAUUUCACUUGUGACCAAUGCAAGUGUGCAUGUGAUCAUGUACGGGUACUAUCUAUUGUGUGUGAUGGGGUUGAGGCCAAAGUGGAAGAGAUUGGUCACUGAUUGUCAGAUUGUUCAGUUUGUGUUUAGUUUUGUUGUUUCGGUUUUGAUGCUGUAUUAUCAUUUUACGGGAUUUGGUUGCUCUGGGAUUUUGGGUUGGUGCUUCAAUGCUGUGUUUAAUGCUUCUCUUUUGACACUUUUUGUUAAUUUUCAUUCCAAGAGCUACGCUAAAAAAAAGCAGGGAUGAUCAGAACAAAUAGUUUUUGUGAUUGUUUUGUGCGUGCGUGUGUGUGUGUGAUUUUUUUUUUCAAGUUUGAUUUUGUUUAAUUAUGAAGGGUUGUGAUCUGUUCAUUGCAAUUGACAGAGAUGUUUUCAGUUGCCUAGACUUCGUAUUUUCAGUUUUAGUAAUAAAUGUCGUUUUUCACCACAUUUGUUUAGUCUCUCGCUUUUAAAUCCCCUCUCACACACAAAAAAAAUUGGAUUUGUAUCUUGUAAACAAAUAUUUUUCAUUUUGUUAAUGUAUUAAUUAUUGUUAUCUACAUUUAUGUGAUAGGGCACAUGCCACAUCGACUAAAAUUAAGUUAUGAAAUUUUGCAGCCCCUGAGCACUCAAUGUUUGUAGGCACAAGUUCAAGUCCCACCAUUUGUUAGGAUUUAAAUAAAGAACAUUAUAACCAUGCGUCCAAGAACUUAAAGAUAGCUUAAGUGCAUGGAUUCGAGUCCUAGUUAUUGUUGGAAUUCGAUUUCCUUUCUAAUUAAAUUGGGUAAGGGUAAAAUUAUCUCUCAAUUAAUAAGGACAGAGUAGAUAUUUCUCUCGAUUUUCCUCCCAAUUAAAUUAGUUAGAAGUAAAAUUAUCUCUCAAUUAAUAACAGUAGAAUAAAUAUCUCUCUAGUAUUAUGCAAGGGUAGAAAUUUGGGCUGUACCAUGUUAGAAUUAUCAAGGAUAGUUUUGGUAGAAUUCUAAUUGUAAUAUAUGAGUGUAUAAAAAAAAUGAACAUCAAUGAAAGAUUUUAGGCAAGAACUAUCUUGGAAUAGAAUUUUGAUUGUAAUAUAUCAGUAUAUAAAAAAAUUUUAUGAAAAAUGUUUAACAAGGACUAUUUUGAUAUUUUAAUGAAUAGUAAAAAUUAAUGUUAAAAUUUGAUAGACGAGUGUAUAGUAAGAUGUGCAAAGUAUUAGAACAUAUAUAAAUAAUCCUAGCUCUAAUAAAAUUUUGCUACAAAAUUAGUUUAUCCCUUAAAGAAACAUAUCAAAAAAAUAUACAAAAACACAAUGCAUGAGUACAUGUCAAUCACAAAUGAAAGCAAUUAAGAUAAAGGAUAUGAUUUAUUUUAUUUUAUUUUAGUUAUUUUUUUAAUUAUUUUUUGUUUCUUUUGAAACAAGACCAAUUAGAUCAUGCAAGAAGUAAUUUUUUUUUUAAAUAAAAAAGGAGAAAUGAUGAAACCCACGUCCAAAGAUGCCGUUGUCGCGGAGGCCUAGAUCUCACUACACCCCAUCCCCUUCUACCAUAUUUUAUAAUUGAAGAGGCCAUUAUUGAAUUGAAAAAUUAUGAUUCAAAAACCCAAAAAUAGAAAAAGAAAAGCAAUUGUUGGAAACACACUCGGAGUUUUAAAUUGACAUGAGAAAAGAAUAUAUUCAUCAACCUCAUACGUUAAAGAUGCGACGAGUUUGAGAUUAUGAGCCAAAUUCCUAACGUGUGGGAAUUUAAAGAUGUUACUACAAAACAUGUGUUCGUCGGUGGAGUAGAAUCAGGGAAAUUAAAGAUGCUACUACAACCACUAACGUGUGGGUGGGGAUAAGCAUAACUUUUUUCAUCAAAUGCCAAAUCCCCCCAGGUGGAGAGUGGGGACUCCUUCGCAUAAAUGUUGAUAAAAUUUUGAUUAUGAUGUUAUUAGAAAUUAGGAAAAACCUGUGGUGCAACUGUGGUACCGUGUUAUAGUUGCAUCCAGCCGUUGGAUACUAGUGGACCCUAUUGUUAACAUAUAUGUUUCCAUAAUAUUGAUUUUGAUGAUAACAAACAAAAUUAAGAAUGAUUAAUCUUUUAAGCUCAAAUUAUUUAAUAUUCUUUUUAAAUAAAUCAUUAUUUUCACAUUAUAAAUGUUUUAUAUUUAAUGGAAAAAUGAUUUUAUGAAAUUGAUUGUUUUUAUUCUCUUUAAAUAAAUCAUUAUUUUUACAUUAUAAAUGUUUUAUAUUUAAUGGAAAAAUGAUUUUAUGAAAUUGAUUGUUUUUAUUCUUUUUAAAUAAAUCAUUAUUUUCACAUUAUAAAUGUUUCAUAUUUAAUGGAAAAAUAAUUUUAUGAAAUUGGUUGUUUUUCAAAGUUUAUGGUUUAAUUAAAAGAAUUUUGAAAACUUUGAAAUAAAUGCUUGAAAUUUUGGAGGACUUAUUUGAAAAGUGUCAUAGCAUUUUUAGCUAUAUCAUAAUUUCAGAAAGUUUUGGGAUUAGCAAAGCAUUACUUAUAAAUUCUAAAAUUGGACCUAUUUAAAAAGUUUUAUAACUUUUUGGGCCGUAAUAUAGUUUUGUAAAGUUUUGGGGUCAAACUGUAAUUUCAGAAAAUAAUGCACUAUGCAGGUUACUGUAGCAUCCGGCUUACCGGAUAUAAAAAACUAGAAAACCGGAUACGGGGCAGUAAGCAUCCGGAACGCAAACGGCUUAUCGGAUUUCGUAACCGGCAAGCCGGUUAGGCAAAAUUCAAAUUUUUGCCUUAGUGGUAACAUAAAUCCAGCUUACCGGAUUCCUUAAACGGCAAACCAGAUACGCUCAGAAUGUGUAUAAUGGGUAGUUUUUGAGUUCAAACUAUAUAAACUCAAAAUCAAUUCAUUUUUGGUAAUACAAGAAAGCAAGAACAAGUGCACACAACAUAUAUUGAGCUUCAAUUUCGUGAAUCAUCAUUCAUUAAAUCAUCUUUGUUCUUAAAUUUGUAUAUCCACUCUUAAAGAGAGUUUGAUUGUUGUAUUUUUCAUUUCUCAUUAAAUUGUGAGAGUACAAGUGUGAGAAACACUUGGAGUGAAGAGAUUGGAGAGAUAAUCUCUUGUUGUAGAGGUUCAUUGACACCUUAAAGUCAAUUGUAAACAUUUGAAGCCUUGGAAAGGCUUGGAUAGUGAAAUCCUCAAGCCCGGUGUGGUUGGAGGCGUGGACGUAGGCGGGGAUUGCCGAACCACGUAAAAAUCCUUGAGUUUGCUUUCUCUUCCCUUACUCAUUUAUUAUUGUGCUUUCAUUGAAUUUAUUGUUUUCGAAUUUAUUAAGGCAUUAGAUUGGAUUUGUGUGGUUUGCUUUACUUAAUUUUUAAAAUUCUAAUUCACCCCCCUUCUUGGAUUGCCUAGUUAGUAUUUCACAUAUCCAUGCAAGUGUAUCCAACAACUGGAUGCAACUAUGGUAAGGUACCACAGUUGCACCGUAGCCGGACCCUAGAAAUUAAGAUAUUAUCUCUCUACAUAUUUUUGCACGAAAUAAUAUGCAAAUAUAAUAUUUUAGUUUAUUAUUAAUAGUUUUACAAUAAUAAAAAUCAUUUUGAUAGACUGGAAAAUGUCGUAUUCGCACUUUAUUUUGUACGAACGUCUGCGAGAAAGAAUAUAUCUAUAUAUAUAUAUUGGAACAUGUAUUUAAGAUUUAGCUAGUGUGAAGUUGGGAAAGUUUUUUUUUUUUUUAACCCAGGCUAAAAAUAUUUCAAUAAAUUUUGAUCAUGGAGACUAAUAAGAUUUUUUUGGUUAUAUUUAUUAAUUUUUUAGGGACUGACAUGAAUAUUAAUAUUUUUAUUGAGAUUAUUAAAAAAAUGUGCUAUUUUACAUCUAUGACUUUUCCAAUCUUUUUUUCUUUCGUUAUUUAUUCCUUUGUGAAUUUUAGUUAAUGCUUGAUAUUAUUUGUUUGCUCAUUUUUUAAAGCAGUAAUUAAAUCUGAACCCUUACAGUAGAAGAUUAUGAAAAAGUAAAGACACAAAAAUCAUAAAAAUCAUUGUAGGUCCAAAUUUGUGCUAUUUUCAUACAUAAUUUGAGAAUAUUUAUAAUUACGCAUCACAACUAGUGGAGUAGAAUCAGGGAAAUUAAACAUUCUACAAUCAUUGACGUGUGGGUUGGGGAUAAGCAUAAACCUUUUCUAUGCAGUAUAAAAGAAUGCAAUAACUCCUUUUCUUUCAGCAUUUUCGCAACAAAAGCACAUCUAAUAACUCUUCAGAAUUCUCGUCUUCUUUGUCAGAAUGGUUGAUGCGAUCGUUUCCUCUCUCCUGGUGCAGCUGAGCUCUGUUGCGGCUGAUGAAGUGAAACAACAGGUGAGGCUUGUGACUGGUGUCGAGGAAGAAGUGAAAAAGCUCACCCGCAAUCUUCGAGCCAUUCGAGCUGUGCUGGAAGAUGCAGAGAAAAGGCAAAUGCAGCGCGACAAUGCUGUUACUUUUUGGCUGGAUCAGCUCAAAGACGCAUCUUAUGACAUGGAAGACGUGUUGGAGGAGUGGACCACUGCAAGGCUCAAAUUGCAGAUUGAGGGCGUUGAUGAUGACAAUGCUCUUGCUCUUGCUCCUUAUAAGAAGAAGGUACGUUCCUUCUUUUGUGCUCUAUCAAACUGCUUUGGUAGUUUCAAAAAACUCAGUCUUCGUCAUGACAUUGCCGUCAAGAUUAGGGAAAUCAAUGGAAAGCUAGAUGAUAUUGCCUCCCAAAAAGAUAGGUUUAAAUUUGUUGAGAAUGUGAGCAACAAUGUUAAGAAACCAGAGCGAGUGCGAGCCAUCCCCUUGAUUGAUGAGAGAGAGGUUUGUGGUAGAGUUGAUGAGAAAAAUGAUCUCUUAAGCAAGCUGCUGUGUGAAAGUAGUGAACAACAAGAAGGCCUUCAUGUCAUCUCACUAGUUGGGUUAGGGGGUAUAGGUAAAACCACUCUAGCACAACUGGCCUAUAAUAAUGAUGAGGUGAAAAGAAAUUUUGAAAAAGUUAUAUGGGUGUGUGUAUCAGACACUUUUGAGGAGAUUAGGGUCGCCAAAGCAAUCAUUGAAGGUCUAGGCGUGUCAGCUUCUGGUUUAAGUGAAUUCGAAUCUCUUAUGAAACAGAUUCAGGAAUAUAUUACGGGGAAGAAAUUUUUUCUUGUUUUAGAUGAUGUGUGGGAUGGAGAUUACAAAAAAUGGGACCCAUUCUUUUCUUGUCUAAAGAAUGGCCACCAUGAAAGUAAAAUUCUAAUUACCACACGUGAUAGGUCAGUUGCACUACAGUUGGGAUCAAUAGAUAUUAUCCCUGUCAAGGAGUUGGGAGAAGGGGAAUGUUGGUUACUGUUUAAGCAGAUGGCAUUUCUACGUAGGUCCUUUGAGGAUCGUGAAAAAUUAGAACCAAUCGGGCGAAAAAUUGCACACAAGUGCAAAGGCUUGCCUCUUGCUGCAAAGGUAAUAGGGAAUCUUUUGCGCUCUAAAAGUACAGUAAAAGAGUGGCAAAGAAUUUUAGAGAGUGAAAUGUGGAAAGUAGAAGCAAUUGGGCAAGGUCUUUUAGCUCCUUUGUUGUUGAGUUAUAAUGAUUUGCCCUCCAAUUCUAUGGUAAAACAAUGUUUCUCAUAUUGUGCUGUCUUUCCAAAAAACUACAAUAUGAAUAAAGAGGAACUAAUUUCACUAUGGAUGGCUCAAGGUUAUCUUAAUACAGAAGAAGACGAAGAGAUGGAGAUGAUUGGGGAAGAGUAUUUCAACAUUUUAGCAGCACGCUCUUUCUUUCAAGAGUUUAAAAAAGAUGAUGAUGAUGAUAUUAUGAGCUGCAAGAUGCAUGACAUAGUACAUGAUUUUGCCCAAUUUGUAAGUAGAAAAGAAUGUUUGUGGGUAGAAAUUAAUGGUACCAAAGACUCAGUCAUAAACUCUUUUGGUGACAAAGUCCGUCACUUAGGGUUAAAUUUUCAAAGAGGCAUUUCAUUUCCUAUGUCCAUUCGUGGACUUAAUAGAUUGCGUACCCUUUUAAUUUAUGAUAGAAGUGAUUUCAAUCUGUCUCUUAGUAGCAUCCUUUUGUCUUUUAGUAGUAGCAAAGAAUGUUUAAGGGCAUUAGUUAUAAGGCUGUUGCGCCUAUGUUUUUGUCCAAACACAUAUAAGAUUAGAGAAACUCGAAAGUUAUUUAGUAAAUUGGCCUGUUUGAGGGCAUUAGUUAUAAGGGAAUCAUUAGUUAUAAGGCUUUCAUCCACGCCUGUUCGUCUUCACUCAAGUUUGAUUAGAGAAAUUCCAAAAAAUGUCGGAAAAUUGAUACAUUUAAGAUAUCUUAAUUUGUCUGAAUUAGGCAUAGAGAGACUACCUAAGACUUUGUGUGAAUUAUAUAAUUUACAAAAGCUAGAUAUUAGGCGGUGCCGAAAUCUUAAAGAAUUGCCAGCGGGGAUUGGGAAGUUAAAGAACAUGAGGAGUUUACUGAAUGGUGAAACUGAUUCGUUGAAAUACAUGCCAGUAGGGAUUUCCAAAUUAACCAGUCUUCGAACAUUAGACAAGUUUGUGGUGGGUGGAGGUGUUGAUGGUAGCAAUACGUGUAGGCUUGAAUCUCUGAAAAAUCUUCAACUCCUUCGAGAAUGUGGAAUAGAAGGGCUGGGUAAUGUGUUAUAUUUAGAUGAGGUCGAGAGAUUACAACUUUACAAUCAGCAAAACCUCCUUCGUUUGCGUCUUGAGUUUGGUAGAGUCGUAGAUGGGGAAGAUGAAGAAAGGAGGAGGAAGAAAGAGAAAGAUGAACAACUUCUUAAAGCCUUACAACUGCCUUUGAGUGUAGAGAAAUUAGGGAUUAUAUUAUAUGGAGGCAACAUUUUUCCCAAAUGGUUGACUUCACUGACCAAUCUAAGGAAUUUAUAUCUUCGCUCGUGCGUUAAGUGUGAGCAUUUGCCUCCUUUGGGAAAAUUGCCUCUGGAAAAACUCGUAAUCAUCCACUUGAAAAGUGUAAAAAGAGUGGGUAACGAGGUUUUGGGAAUAGAAGAAAGCAGUGAGGAUGGCCCGUCUUCAUCUUCAUCACCACCAUCAGUUAUUGCCUUCCCCAAAUUGAAAUCACUCAUAAUUGGGGCAAUGGAAGAAUUGGAAGAGUGGAAUUACAGGAUUACGAGGAGGGAAAACAUCUCUAUCAUGCCACGUCUUUCUUCCUUGGAAGUUCGUUCUUGCAACAAAUUGAAGGCGCUGCCGGAUUACCUUCUUCGAACGUCGACGCUGCAGGAAUUGACUAUUGACAAAUGUCCUCUUCUGGAAAACCGUUAUAGAGAGGGGAAAGGAGAAGACUGGCAUAAGAUAUCUCGCAUUCCCCACAUCAAGUGGUCGCGGUAAUUUAUCACUCGCCGGUAAUUUCUCCUGCUCCUCUGAUUUACUUCGUUGUUGCUUGCAAUGAAAUUAAUAAAAAUAAUUAUAUUUUGAAUUAAAAUUCUAUAUAGAAUCAAUCAUGGUAUAAAUACGUAAAACUUCCUAGUUAUCAAAUCUGUUAAACUUGUUUUCUAAAGAUUAAAUAAAAAAAAAAUACAAGUGUAGUCUGUUUAAAUUUCUAUAUUUAUUUGUUUUUAAAAAAUAUGUGCUCUUUUGUAAAAUUUCAUGCAAUGUAAUUUAUUUUUUAAUGUACGAAAAUUUGUUAUGUGUAACAAAAUCUCUGUGAUACGUUUGCAGUAAUGUUGAAAACUAAAUUAUCAAUUUUAUCUUAUAUAAUGAUAAUCGUAUUUUUUUAUAUAUAAUAUACGUGACAUUAAUUCUUUAAAGUAAUUGUGUAAUUGUUUUUAGUAGUACAUUAGCCCACUUUGUUUUAUUUCAUACUUGUUUAAUUAUGUUCACCAGGGAUUCGAGGAAAUGUCAGAACUACACUAGCAAUUCACAGGUCCAAUCUAAUUUGGUUUUAAUGAUGCGGGCAGGAGAGCAAGACUAUGAAAAUGAGAAGUUUAGCCAAAGGAUUGCUAAAAUGUUCUGCUGGUAAUUCACUUGCUUUAUUUUAUAGAAUUUCAUUUCCAUCUUCUUCUAUUGAUAUCUUGUUGUAAUAAACAAGAACAGAGAAGUAAAUAUAUAUAUCAAAAUUUACUAUUACGAUGAUGCUAAAGCAAGCUCAAGCUCAAGCACUGCAUUUUUAUUUUAUUUAAUUUAUAGAAUUUUCAUUUCCACCUGCAUUGCAUUUUUAGGUUGACUUUGAAGACUCUAUGGAGAAAAUUGGGGUAACCAAGGAUUAUCACUGUGGUUAUUGUGCAACGUUUGGUUGCUGGACUUUGAAGAAGGAAGUGAUGGCCGGGUCUGCUCUGUUUCAAUUGAGGAUGGAUAGCUGCCUGAAAGACAUGAUGAUUAUUAUCAUUGCAUGAUGUUAAGGUGCUAAGAUCAUCAUUUCGAUCUUGUUUCAUUCUUGGAAUCAUUUAUCCUGUAUAAACAUUUGUUUUAACAAAUGUUUCAAUGCCUGCUGUAGUAACAAUUUCAUCUCUUGCAUCUCUCGGGUGCAUCAUGAUCACGGGUUUGAGAAAGCAUUUGUGGUAAAGCUUCAAAGCUUGUACAAUGGCUGUGAAAAGGCACAUUCAAUUCGGUACGUUUGGUGCGGUCUCCUAAUGCUACUACCAUAUUUUGUAUAGCAAUUAAAAUUCAGGUAUACAAUCUUAAUAUGCAAUAAAUCAUUGAGUACAAAGUUAUCUAUUAAUUAUAUGGUAACUGAAAUUUUCAUUAUAAUUUUAAUUAUCAUAUUAAUAUUAAAGUUUUUUGUAACCCUCUUUUACUUUGCUUGUACAGAGUAUCUGUUUUGGCUGAUAUGUCUAAUUCGUAGCAAUUCAUUUCCAUCGGUUUCCAUUGGUUUUAGCACAAACAGAAACAAAAAUCUGGGGAAAAAGUUUUACUUCUUCUGGUAUUAUGCCUUUAUUUAUUCAUUCAUCAUAUUUGUUCGAAUUCAUGCUCUCAUUCAGAGAGCAGCCUUUUCCAGGCUACUUUGUAGCCAAAUUUUCAUGCCAUCGAUGCAUGAUUGUCAUUUAGAUUUUCCAAAUAAUUGUUAGAUUGAAGAAGAAUAAGAAGAUAUUGUUAAAAGGGUAUUUAAUUAGCACCCUCUGAAUUUAGUUGCCAAUAAUGCAUUGAAAUGGUUGGGGAAAGUUAUUGUCUCAAUUAAAUUACAGGUGACAAGAUGCUGCUCCAAUUUUGCAAGCAUCUCGUGUUUCGAGAUUUUGCCCACAUGAGAUGCUAUGAUUUUUGACAUCAGGGUAACAAAGGUCAAAUUUUAGCAUCAAUAGAUAUCAUCUUCUUUACUGUUCUGCUCGAAAUAUUAAACUUUAGGCAAGUUGUUUUUGUUUGUGUGAGUUAUCAGGUUAAGGAUACUAAGCAGCUUAUUAAGGCAAAUGUCAGAAUGAAGAUUUUUCACCGCACCUGGUAUGAAUGAUGGCGAGGAAGAUUAAUUGUUCACAAGCCAAUUUGAUCAGUGUUAGAUUCUUUUGCCUCCCUUCAAGAGAUAUCAUCAUCAAAUUUGAGAAGAGACUUUUGUUUUGACAUUUCACUGUAGUGAAUUUUGGGAGCUUGAACCCACUUGAGUGAAAUAUUAGGGAAUACUGGGGAUAUGGGUUAUGAGUGAUCGUUAUCCUUCAAAUAUUUGUAAGCUCUCACUUGUUAGUAAAAUCAUCUUCGUAUAUUGACUUUGUUUCUUUGUUGUCAGGCCGAGUGUGAUCUUCAAGGUUUGAGAAAGUCUUCGCAGUAAAAUUUCCACCACGUGCAAUUGCUGUGAAGGGGCAUAUACAUUUGAGUAAUUCAGUUUCAGAUUUUCAAGGCGCGUUUGUUUAAUUAGUUUCGAUUAUAAUAUUUAGUCACUCAUUCUGAAUCUUUUCUAAUUUUCAAGUUCUUUAGGGCCGCCAACAGUUUUUCAAGUCUACAUGUGGCUGCAAAAAGAUUGAUGGUCAUCAAAUUAUCUUGAGCCUUGAGGCAUUGCGUUCGAGCACAAAAGGAAACAGAACUAAGGGAAAUGAAGACAGUAGGAGAUGCUCUGAAUAUAACAAAAGUAUAUUUCUACUUCUUGUGGUUAUUUUAAUUUUGUUUAUCCUGUCAUCAUAUUUAAUUAAUUCGUUUGAAUUCACACUCUCACACAUUAUUUAAAACCAUCUGCAGGUGGUUUGCAAGCUAGCUAAGUUAAUGCAAAAACAAUACUCUAGACAAAGAUGAGCAAAUUGAAGGCGACAAAUGCAAAUUGGAUUUCAAUGAAUAAUUGUUAGGCUGGUGGAGAUAUUCUUAAAAGGGCAUUAAGCUAUCUUAUGGAAUUGGAAAGUUAUUAUUGCUUGAAAGCAAGCAGCAUCUUCGUUGCGAAGGCUUUCCCCACCUGAUAAAAUGCUGAGAUUGUUACCGGCCCCUUAAUUAUUUAUUAACUCAGGUAUUUAUUAUCAAUACAUCAUCUUAUUCACCAUUUUGGCUAUAUAUAAAGAUUAAAAUUUCUAACAGUUGUUUCGGAUUCUUGUGUACUCAGGUUAAUAGGGCAAAUAUCAGAAUGAAGAUUGCUCAGUGCAACCGAUAGAGCAAGGAUGAUAGUUGUGAGAAAGAUUGUUGGCAAGACAAAUAGAGCCCUCCAUUUGGAGAAAUAUCAUCCUCAAAUUUGAAUUGUCGAGCAUGUGAGGUGAAUCUAAAGCCUUAAUAAUGAGACCUUCCUGUGGAAGUUUCAUUUGAAUGAAUUGAACGUUCUUACUGAGUGAGAAAUUAAGUAUAUAUCAUCGAUUUUGGUCGUCUGUGAAUGUUUUCCUUCAAUAUUAAUACACUAGCAUUUCUUAGUAAAUUCACUUCACGUCACUUCCUCCUUGUUGGUGGGACUAGUAAACAAAUGUCAUUUCUUAGUACAUUUUGAGAAUUUUGAUUCCCAAAUAAGCCUGCAGAACGGUGUAUGGUGGGAUUAGCUGCAGGAUUCUUUGCCAAAAUUCCUUUUUAUUCCUUUGUUCACUUAUUCGUUAUAAAUAAAGUAAAAUUAGAAUAUUGUUCCGUUUACUGUCUAAGCUGGUCUAACAUUUGUUUAAUUUGGGCAAUUUUUAAUGCCUAACAGGUUAUCUGUGACAAACCCAUCGGUGAGUGUAUGCAACUAUUGGAUGGAUUUGAUAGAGCGGUCACCAACAAUUUUGAAGUUAUUGGAGUAGCAUGGCUUGGAGGUCUCUCCCUCCCUCUUUUACGUAUUUGUCUAUUGAUUGACAUGUCUAUAUAUACAUUGAUAGACCAACCUACUCUGGUUUUAAUGUUUUGUUUGUUAAACUUUGACUGGGGAAUGUUUAUUUGUCUCAUAUGAUGUCAAUGUGGUUCCUAUUGAAGUGUAUAGAUCUGUCACCUCAAAGUCUGAUUUCAAUUUUCCUUUACUUCAUCAACUAGCAUCGUUUCCAAGUCCAGAUACUUACCAAUAGUGAGACUUUUCUACGGAAGUACAAUUUCUCUUGUUUUACAGUUAAUUAUGUAAGAAAAGUUUUACAUUUACAGAAUUCUGGUAUAGCUCUCUUAAGGAAAUGCGAGUGGUGAAUAUGGUUCCAACUUUUAAUAGGCUUAAUAGGCCCAUUUGUUAAGCCACAGUGAUUGCGGUCUAAAUUCUUCUUUACUGUCUAUAUGUGUUGGAGUUUGUCUAUUGUCCAACUUCUCAAAUCGAUUCCAUGCAGGGUUUUGAAUGUCUAAUUAGGAGAAAGAUUAACGGAUGACCUUUUGAAGAAGGCUUACACAACAGGCCAUCUCAGGAUGUCAUGGCUCAGCUCAAAAGUCCCCAGGUGGUUGAUAUCAAAGAAUGCCAUUGUUUCUGGGCUUGGUCUCCUUGGCAUCAAACAAGAUAAUGUUGACUCUAUUAAAGGGGAAAUAAGGGCGACUAAAGCGCGAAGAAAGAGGAUAGUCCGGAGGAAGGUGACUGCAUAAAUUUGUUGGAGUUAAUGUAGUCAAUUGCCCAAUUUUGCUGCCUGUCGAAGAGACACAUCAUGGAAGUCCUCAUCAAACUCUGAGACACCUAAGAAAUAGUAUGAGGUGGUGGUAUUCCCCUGGUGUUAAUUUCCUGGCAAGUGUGGUUCACAGAUAGAGGGAUUCUUUUCUUGAUGUCUAAAUACCGUAUGUGAUACAACGUCGUAUAUUCUAAUUUUCCUUGAGUUAAAUUCUAGUCAGUUAGGAAAGUUAAUUUUGUUUUCGCUAUGGAUUGUUUCCUAGAUAAUAAUAGUUUCCAUGUUUCUUUGGGGUCUUAUUAACUCUCUGUAACCCAGUUCAAGUUUGCAAAUUCUAUUUCAGAUUUCUCAUAUAGUGUGCCUUUGUCACUUCUGUGAUACACUUUUGAUCACAAGUUUCCAUUUGAAGUAACCAAUAUUCUUUAUAGACUAAUUAUCUAAGGAUUAUUUUAUACAAAAAAAUCAAAACUUUAAUUAAUUGAUCAUACUUAACUUGGCUUUUGUUUGAUAUUACUAGCUGUUGUGAGAACCAAAAAAAUAGCAGAAAGUUGACAAUGUGCAGUAAAUGUAUGACUUUUAAAUAAUAAUUUAAUAAAAUUAAUAAAGAUAUUAUAAAUUUUUUAAUAAUAAAGUAUGAGAUCAAAUCAAAUUAAUUUUUAAGUCAAAAUUGUUUAAUUAUGUAGUUUAAAAGUAUAGUUAUCCAACCUCAACACAAUAGAGAGAUUUCUAUUUACCAAACUCUACCCAACUUUGGUUGUACUGACUCGAUCAUGCAAGUCCAUACUCGACGCGUUGACCAUACAAGAUGUUACUCAACUUUAACAAAUCUUACUCAAACUUUGCACGUUUAGCAUGCCGAAUGGAAUAUGAUAGUAGAUGAUGUGAUAGAUAUUAUAGGAAUAGUCGUAACAAAAUUAUAUUUAGUACUUUUUUAUAUUUUAUGUGAUGAACAGAUGUAGUAUAUGAAUGGAUUAUAUUACAAAUUUUAGUGUUAUCAUAAUUAAAAAAUUGAAUUAUUUUUUAUUAUUGAAAAACUGUAAUAUGUUAAAUAACAGUUAUUUUUAUUAAUUUUUUUUAAUGAAUUAUACUUUUAAAUUGUAAUCGAAAAUUCUUAUUACUGAACUAAUAAAAAAUUAAUUAGCUCAAGAGAUAAAUUCACUUAGUGUAGAACGAAAUGGUGUGUUAUUUUUAUGUGGGAUCCACAUCCUUUCCACAUCAACCUCAACAUCCAAACAUGAAAUUGGACUAAAAAUAGUUCUUUCCCAUGUAUUUACGUAACCUCCUCCCACUAAACGCAAAUAUUUAUUCUUGAUUUUACUAACAUAAUUUUCUCCCAUUUCCAUAUUGUCCGCGUUGAGUGCAUGUAAUCCACAAGUUUAAUUUUUUUUUUUUUUUUAGAGAGGUAUGUUAAAAUGAAUAUAUCACUUUUUUUUCUUUUUUCCUUUUUUUUGUGUGAGUGAUGGCUUCGUUGAAUGACAGUUGGCUGAUAAUAAGUUAUCUUUUAAUUUUGUUUUUGAUUUAAUAGAAAAUAUUAAUUUUUGUAGUUUCGGUAGAUGAAAUUUCGAAUCAAAUAUUAAUAUUGUUAAAGUACGCAACCCAAUAUUUGCUUAAAUUACAAAAAAGAUUAAUUGCUUUGCAUAAAAAAGAAGUGAUCACUUGAUUUAACUUCCUUUACUAAAUUUACGAUUUAAAAUCCAAAAUAAAAAAGAGAGUUUAUUAUUGAUUAUCAUUUUCCCAAAUUUAAGCUAAGACAGUAAUAUGUCCAAAAUACCCUCCACGUUAUCCUAAAACUUUAUGAAUUCCCCCGUUCCUCUCAACAUCAUCUCUUCCAAAUCUUUCUUCCCCAAAAAACCAGCCAUGGCUUCAUAUUUAGUUACCUCAACACUCCAAUAUUGGCUUGUAAACAGCAGCGGUUCAACCUCUAGGCAACUUAGGUGGUUGCAUAGGACUCCGCUUUAUAUGAAAGCCCUACAAGAUGAUUAUUUUGUAUAUAAAAGAGGAAAAUGAAUUUAAAAGUCAUUAUUAUUCAUUUAAUUUAUUAUUAUUUUGUAAUUAUCUUUUUCUAAAUAAACUAUCAAAUUCUUAUCAAGUUUAUUUAAUGUAGUACUUAAUUGUUUUAAUUUCUACAAAACCAAUAAAUUAAUAGUUUCAAUCCUAAAAAUUCUCUAUUUCAUUGUUAGAAUUAAUAAGUUAUAUUUCAAAAGUUUUAUAUUUAUUUUAAACCUCUAUAAAAACCCCACAUUUUAUUACUUAUCCAUUAAAUUUUUCGUUCAACAAUCAAGACAUCUUGGUGUUUGAGAGAAAGAAAGAGAGAGGGAAAAAAAUCUUGCUUCCUCUACUUUCUACUCUAGAAGAAAAAGAAAAAAUCAAAUAGUUUUCUCUAUUUUCUAUGACUAUUGGUUGCUACUCAAAUUUUCAAACAACAGCCUUAAUAUAAACAUAAGUUAAUUUAUGAUUUCAUCUCAAAUUUCUGAUUUUAUCUUUUUAUUAUUCUCUUAAUUAAUUGUGUUGUUAUUUGUUCUUAUUUCUUUUUAUAUAUUCUUUUCUUCAUCUACUUUUUUUGUGCUUGUUUUAUCUAUUUUGAAAUAAAACUAUAUCAAAAAAUUUUAGACAAUAGGAGAAUAAAAAAAUUAGAUUAAUUUAAAAAAAUAGUAAAAAAGAUAUAAUUUAACUUAAAAAAAAGUGAAAAUGUUAUAAUUGAAUUAAAAUUUUAUGACUUAACAACAAUAGAAUAAAUUUGUAUUUAAUAAUUUUAUAUUUUAAAGUAUUUAAAGAAUUAAUUUUUAAUAAAUAAUAUUAAUAUAUAUAUAUAUAUAUAAGUUACUUAUCUCUCCAUCCGCACUUAUCUCUCCCUCACAUUCAUCCUCAACCACACAUCAACAUCAACAUCAACAUCACCUCUCAUUGGACCCCACAUCCUCAAGCCCAUCACAGCCGUCCAUAACCUCACCCUCCUCCUCCUCUCCCUCAUCAUGGCCGUUGUUUGCCCUCUCUCCAUCAUCCUCCAUUUACCGCACCUCCGUUACACCCUCUGUUUCCUCCUUACCAUUUCUCCGUCUGGCACGGCCUAAUUCCGACGGAAUCAACGACGGUCGUGAUGGGUUUUGGCUGCGACUAUUCGCGCUUCAAACGGCGGCGUUUCGGUUGGUUUUUGGCGACAGUGACGGUGGGAAAGUGAUGGCUGGCUCAGGAGCUUUCUUUGCUACCAUCCAUGGCCGGUGAGGUGGCCGAAAAUCGGAUAUAUGUCUGCGUCGGGUUCGCAGUUUUGGGUCGGGUUUUCCGGGUCAGUUUGACAGCUUCCUCUAUCCCUCUCCCCCAUAAAACAUUACCCAGCUUCCUCUUAUUAUUAUUUUUUUUUUCACAUACGUUACAGAACAUUAAUGAGAGAUGUUUAGUAGUAAGGACUAUUUUGAUAUUUCGAUGAGUAGUAAAAACUAAUGUUAAAAUUUUAUAGACGAAUGUAUAGUAAGAUGCUCAAAGUACUAGAACAUAUAUAAAUAAUCCCAGCUCUUAUAAAAUUUUGCCACAUAAUGAGUUUUAUCCCUUAAGCAAAACAUAUCGAUAAAGUAUACAAAAGCACAAUGCAUGAAUGAUGGUCUUACAAAGUUCGAAUAUAAAGUUUAAGAUACAGAAUAUGAUUUAUUUCCUUUUAGUUUAGUUUUUUUUUUUUUUUUUGGUUUCUUUUGAAAGGAGACCAACUAGAUCAUGCAAGAAGUUAAUUUUUUUCUAAAAUAAAAAGGGAGAAAUGAUGGUCUUACAAAGUUCGAAUAUAAAGUUUAUAAUCUAAAAUUAAUGAUGUGACAAUUAACCUAAUGGAGUAAGAAGUCCCAAAUAGAUUAUAUUUUGCUAAAGAAGUCAAUUCUACCAAGAAUACCUCUUUCUAUUGAAUUUAAAUGAUGAUUAUUUGUUUAUAUCAUAAAAGCUAAAAUAAUUGUGUGAGUAAUUUGAUUCUUUUACAGUAUAAAAAUAAAUUCAGAAAAUGUUAGGGAAAGGUCUUACACUAUAAAUGACCAAUAGAAGAAUAGAAAAGAAUUUUAGAUAGUGGAAUGUGGAAGGUAGAAGAGUUUGGGAAAGGUCUUUUGGCUACUUUGUUGUUAAGUUAUAAUGAUUUGUCAUCCAUAAUAAAACAAUAUUUCUCACAUUGUUCUAUCUUUUCAAAAGGUUACAAUAUGUGUAAAGAGAAACUAAUUACACUAUGGAUGGCUCAAAGUUACCUUUAAAUGUAGAAAAAGGCAAAGAGAUGGAGAUCCGAUCCAAUAUGAUAAUAGUAGUUUAUUUUAAUUUUUAUUAAUUUGAUUUCAUAGGAGUAGUUUUCAUUUUUUGUUGAAAAUUGGUAAAAAAAAACUAAAAUGAGAUAAUUACUUUAAAACAAUCUUCAAGAACUAAAAUAAUUAAAAAAACUCAAAAUAAACAAAAAGGCUUAAAAAUAACCCUAAUCCGAAAAUUGUUUGAAUCCAUCCUAACUGGCCCGAAUAUGAUUUUAACCCAAACCCAAUCUAACUCGCUUAUAAUUAUAACCUAAUGCGAUCCAAAUUCAACUUGAAUUUUUGAUCCGAUCUAAUCCAAUUUGAAUAUUCUAACCCUAUCAACCAGAAACCCAAUUAGGUUGAUCUGAACCUACAUUUGUCCACUCCUAGAGGGGAUCAUGACCCUACAAACUUUGAAAGUUUUUUGAGAUUUCUAAGUGAAUAUUAAAAAUUAUGUAUAAAAAGACUGAUUUGACCCCUAAACACUUGAUAUAGAAACUUUAUACAUAUAAUAGAAAUUAAUUUUAUAUUUUGUGAAAUAAAAUCAAAGUAACUGAAUUUUUUAAUUUUUAUUUUGUUAAUUAUUUUUCUACUAUGACAAAAUGACUAAUAGCCUGGUGCCUAGCUCUUUGACUUUUAUUUUGCUAAUUAUUUUUUUUCAUUUCUCUUGCAACAGUAAAUUCAAUUAUCAAUCAAAGUCGCCAAAUCAAAAUCUCUGCAGCCUGCAGCUACAAGCAAACUUCUCAAAUUUCGAAAUUCCUUAUGACUACAUAAUAGCUAUAAAUAGAAAAAGCGUCUAAAAUAACUAUGUUUUCCUAAGUUUGAGCUUGAGCCCCCUGAAGAUUUACUCCAUAUGUAACAAAAUAUUAGUUUUGCUAGUAAAAUUGCUAACUAUGUUUUUCUUUGUAUUUCCGCUCAAGGAUGAAGAAAUUUCCCUAGACUUUUGUGGUGAAUAUCUUACGAACAUAUGACAAUUUAAUCUUUGGCUGAGACUUGUUUAACAUAAGAGAUGACACUUUGAAGCAAUAGGAGAGAGAGCUGAUAAGCUUUGUUCCUAAAAAAAAAACUAUUACUUCUUUCUUUGAACAUAUGCGCAUUCUCUCUAAUUGUUGCAAUGGAGGAAUUUCCCAUCUAAAGAACACUUCAAUCAUCCAUUGCUUUGUAAGAUGUGAAAAGGCUACGAUUCUUGUACACAUACUUGAUUGCACCGGAAUCUAUUCACUAUGCAUUAUCAUGUUUGAGAAUAUUAAUCUCAGAUAUCAUGACCAUAAAUUUUGUCCACAAAAUUUGUGUUCAAACACUUCUUUUCUUUCUUAAGAAGUUGACAGUCUUUUUUAAAGUGGCUUGGCUUUUCACAUUGGCCACAUGUACACUUCUUUUUUUUAUUCUGUUGGUUUGAUUCUAUUUGGAAUCAAACUUUUGCUUUUGGUUAUUAAUGCGGUCAUUAGACUGCUUAAGCUCCUUCUCCUCCUCCACAACAUUAAUUUUAGAGGACAUAGCAGGCUGUUCCUCAAGACUAUUAAGUCUAAGUUUCUAUUCAAUAUGAAGACUUUGCCAUGCCUUCCAAGCUAAUUUCCUCUUUGCUAUAUUUAAGACUUUUUUCAUAGUCUUUUCAAGAGGGGGGAAGUUUAUCAAUAAUUGAAGAAGUGGUGCAGUCAAUUAAAUGAGCGAACUCGAGAAUCAUAAGAGUACAUACAAUAGUGGCUACAAUAAUUAGGCCUGCUUCCUCUCUCACCAGAACAGAACUGACGGCCCGAUCCGAUACCGCCAAAUACAUGACACAACUUAAAAGUAAAUUUUAACUCCCAAGUAUAAGAGUGUCUUGUUGUAUUAUAACUCGGUGAGUCCGAGGUCGAUCCACAGAGAAAAGAUUUAAUUAGUUUAUUUUAUUUUAUCUAAAAAUUGAAAUUAAAACUUGAAUAUAAACAACUUAAUUUAAAUGAAACUAUGGAAUUGAACUAGUUAGGGUUAUGGAUCCACUCUUAGAAAUAAAUAAAACUUAAUAAAUUCUUUUUGCCAAUUUGUUUUAGAUUUAUUACUCAAAAGAUUAAUUAUACAAAUUAUUAUUAUUUUCCCUUUAAUUUUAUGAUGGAUUAAGUAUUUAUUGUGCCAAAAUUUAAUUUGUCUACAAUAAGUCAAAAUACCAUUUCACCAUGCCUUAUAUUAAGAUCUUAAGAAUUUAUUGUGCCAAAUUCAUUUGUUUGUCUACAAUAAAUCAAAUUUUCAAAAUAUAAAACAUGUAUAAAAUUAAAUAGAAAAUAAUUUAAUUUAUAAAAUUAAACAUAGAAUUUGAUUAAAUCAUAUUUAUUUCUUAAGAGUUUCACCUUCCCCUAACUAAUAUUAUUUAGUUAAGCAUAAUUAAAAUAAAAAGAAGUAGUAAAAUUGAAUUACUUAUAAUUAAAAGAAAUAAAAACAACUAAAAUUGGAAAUAAAACUAAUUUUAUUAAUGAAAAUAAUUAUACAAAAUAUUAAAAACACACCUGGAAAUCAAGAUUAUAAGGAGAUGGAGAGAAUUUGAGAAGAAGAGAGUUGUAGAGAGAUGAUUAAAACAUAAAAAUGAGGCUCUAUUUAUAGAAAAAUAAAUUCAUAAUCCAGUGCUUUGCGGUCCAUCAUAGGCUUCAUGCAUGUGCUCCUCACAACCCUUAGAUCAAGAUCCAAUGGCUGGUCAAACUUCAAAAGUCAACAUCACACAUGGCAUCAUUUGACUCGUCCGAUUUACCCAAAGAACGGUUGAGAUUUGGCGGGUUAAUGGAUGGAUCGGGUCGACCCGAAUACAAAGAUUCGGAUCCUCCAACUUGCUUCACCAACCAUUGCCACGUGGCACAAUCAUGGCCAUUGAAUCAUGAACGGUUGAGAUUUAGUCAAGAUUGCCAAUUAUCCCAUGCACUCAUAUCUAUUGUAAGCUCAUUUCAUCAUCCAAUCAGUGCUCGGUCAACAGGAAAAGUCAACUUUUUUUACACAAGCCCAAUUUUAAGCCGAUCUUGACUGAUCUUAAGGUUUUCGGACCUCCGGAAUCCAAAUUUGACCUCUGUUUAUCUGUUUGGAGCCUCGAAAUACGUGAAAUUAAUAUUUUUCCUAAUAAACACAUAAAAAUACACAAAAUUAAAUAUAUUUAAAACAUAAUUAAUAAUUCAUAAUAUAUUACAUAAACGCAAAUAUAAAUUAUAACAUAAGCAUAAAAUAACAUAUUAUCGCUUGAUAAUUAAACAAUUUUUAAUACUAAUCACACCCCCCAACCAGCUUAUUGCUAGCCCUCUAGCAAUUAAAGCGUUAUAUUAAGAUUUAUAAAAUUCACAUGCAAGUUAAUAGUUGUUCAUCUAUCCUCUAAAUUACCAAAUAAAUGAACUCUCCCAAAUUCCUUUACCACAUUGAUGUUCACUCAUUAUCCAGAAUAUCAUCAAACCUUCUUUUGUGCUCAAGUAAUUAACACAAUACUUAUGGGGCUUCAUUAAAAGAAAAACAACAUUUUCGUUCUAAAAUUCAUUAGAAAUUAUAUCUUUAGGCAAUAGAUUAUUCACACAUUUUUUUUUUAUAUUACAUUUCUAACCCGUGUAGCGAGCUUUAGGUCAAUGACUCCCAGACCAGUUGGCCUUAGGGCACUAGGUGUUGAAGCACCCCUACGGACUUAAUUACUCGGGUUUCUAAUAAACAAACAAUAUAUCUAUUACCCAUGUAGCGAGCUUUAUGCCAGUGACUCCCAGACCAGUUGACCUUAGGGCACUAGGUGUUGAAACACCCCUACGGACUUAAUUACUCGGGUUUCUAGAUAUAACAAAAUUAAAAACAUUUUUUCUUCUUCUUUUUUUUUGAUUUUUUUUUUUUUUUGGUUUUUUUGUUUUUGGAAAUAUACACUUUCUACUACCUUAGAUACUAUUCCUAAUAAAUCAAAAGAACUAAAUGCUGUAAAACUUUAACUUACAACCCACUAGUAUGUGUCAUAGUGUGUGUGUGAAGAAUGAUUCAAUAAUACCUGUUAAAUGAGUAAACAAUUAAAUAACUUAAUAACCAAGUGGAGAGUUCACAAAUUUGAGUAAUUCAAAGAAAAGGGAACAAAAACAACUUACUAUGAAUCUCAAAAUCAAAAUAUAAUACAACAAGACUAUUAGGAUGCGUCUCAAAAGUCGUGACUCUUUACACGGCCAUCCUAGACAAAAAACAAAUUUUUUUUUUUUGGUUUUUUUUUUUUUUUUAACAAAGAAAAGAAAAGAGAAAAGAGAAAAACAACACACAUAUUUAAAACAUACGUCAAUUAUCCCCACCCCACAACCUAAUCUAAACAUUAUCUUAACAUUUUAUAAUUUUACAGAUAUGCAAAAAAAUAAAAAUAAAAGAGAAUAAUAAAAGAAGAAGAAGAAGAGAUCUCACCUGAACUUGAUGCAGAAGCUUAAAAGCAAAUAACAAAGAUGAAGAAAGAGUCAAUUUUUUUUUUAACAACACCCUUAAGAUUAAGAAGAUGCGUUUCUAGAGAGACUACAUUCUCUAUAUCCUGCCAUCUUCGACUCAAAUUUGUCCUAAGUUAGUCUUUACAGAAAAAAAAAAUUUUUUUUUUUUGUUUUUUGUUUUUUUUUUUUUUUUGUAAACACAUAACCAGGACUAAGACAUUCCACAAUUAUCAACUAUUCCCUCCCCCCAACCUGAAAAAGACAUUGUCCUCAAUGUUUUAAAAGGAAAGAGAAAGAGUGUAGAAGACAUCACAUGAACACUACAACAGAAAAUAUUUACAAACGGAGAGUUAAAUCUAAAUCGCACUUCUUAUUACUGCUACUGUUACCGUUACCGUCAUUAGUCGACCAAUUCAGUGCAACAGUCUGUGGAUCUGGCUCUGGUGUAUAAGCUUGCAAAAGAUCAAGUAACUCAUUAGCAGUAGAAGCAGAGAUAAAGAGUUUUUUUACAGAAUGUGGAACAAAAUGAUUCUUUAUUGCAUGGUUAAUAAAAGUUAGCAAGCCGUCAUAAAAAUUAUUAACAUUUAACAAACCGAUGGGUUUUUGAUGAAUGUUCAAGUGGGCCCAAGAUGCAAAUGUAAUUAGUGCCUCAAAAGUUGCAAGAUCUCCUGGCAAGAAAAUAAAAGCAUCAGCAUGAUUCAUCAUUUCAGAUAUUCUCUCUUGCAUACUUGAUACCACUAAUUCUUCUCCAAUUGGUGGGCCAGACAUGCACACUAGCGGUUUCAUGGGUUUUGGGAUAAUGCCGAGUACUUGGCUUCCUCUGGUAAAAACAGCUUCUGAGACAAGUCUUGAUAACCCUCGUUCACCUCCUCCAUAUACAAGAUGCAGUUUCCUCUCUGCUAUGACACGACCAAGAUCUACAGCUGCCUGAACGAACUCUUUGUACUUUCCAUAGUGAAACCCAGAAAGCACACAAAUAUUUUUGAAUUGUUUACUCGAAGAUGAUGCCAUUGGACUAAUUUUUCAAAAACAAGUUGUGAGUGUUUGAAAAAUGAGCUCAUAUUUAAAGAUCUUGGUAACAUAAAUAAUGAGAAACAGCUGUAAAUGGGUUGGCAAUAUUUGUCAAAUGACGAGUAAAGCUCGUGGCUCAAUAAUUCAAAAACAAACAGUAAAAAGAAAGUAAUGAUUAGAAAAAGCAAACAGUAAAAGAAAACCAAAUAUUUAUUAAAUACAAAAUCACAUCGCUAAAUGCAAUAAUGCAAAUGAUAAAAUAACAGUAAAAUAAAAUAACAGUGAAGUGAAAGGAUAUUUACUGGUAGUUGUGAUUGUGGCUCACAUCUUCCUCUGGUUUUACGUCCAGUAACGGCUUGAACGCCCUCUAUGGGUCGAGGAUCGGCUUCCCAUCCAGUUUUCUUAUAAACUGGCAAACAGGGUCUUUUUGAGUCAGAUUCCCAAGACUUAACUGUGCACUUUGUUUUUGGAAUAGUAUCCACAAAUUGUAAAUCUCACGUUGCACAAUUCCGCUUCGAUGCGUCUCAAGAGAUCGUAAGAUAUCAUCCAACGAUUCUUUACUCAUGCCAUCUUUAACGAAUUUAAUUUUAUCUUCACGAGUAUCAGAAACCAUUCCUAAAGAUUUACAAUCUGGUCGUUUGCAACCAAGUCUCACACAGUUAUGACAUUUUGAGCCAAGUCGUUUAGCUCUCCUUUUCUUAGCAAACGUACUUUUACCAAAACCAGGCAUGUAAGAAACAAAUUGACCAGAAAAUUCACCUGCUAAUCGGACCUUUGCUUCAAUUAACCAACGAAUGUCAGAAGGAAUGCCAUUGAUCAUUAACAAACGCAGUCGUUCACAACGAGCUUUGUAAAUUUUCCUGAGGGCAUUCUGAGGGAGAGAGGGAAAAUGCUUAUGGAGUUUAUGUUGUAUUUCUUCCAUGUAUGAUUUUGGGGUUUCAGUUAUUGUGGGAAACUGAAGAUACCGACUUAAAAAGUCACGGAGUACCGUUAUCCGCCAUUUAUACGGGAAAAUAAAUCAAAACACACCAAAAUCAAAUCUGCAAAAUCAAAUCAAGCGUGAAAGCGAGCAAAAAGAAGCACACAAUAUAAAAGGAAAAUGAACUUACAUUCGUCCUCUCAUUGAGUUAACCUCAAGCUCCAUUUGAAAUUCAUAUAUGCCACUCUCUACUGUUCUGAGUUGUCCCUCUAGAUCCUCAACAUAGGACACGAAUUCUGGUGGUUGCAGAUCCCAAAGUGGAUGUGAUUUACAGCUUUGUAUCAGGCCUCUUAAGUGAAAUUUUAUACGCCGAAAUCUUUUAAGAUGUGCGAACAGGUAUUUUCUCAUUGAGGUGCUCAUGAUGUAAAAUGAAAAUUGAUGAGAGAAUGUACAACUGUCAAACAAACACGCUUACACAAGAAAAACAAUGUUAAAAAAAAACUAUGUACAGUGCAUCAAUCUAAGGAAAAAAAAAAGUCAAACAAUGAAACGGUAAAAUAAUAGUAAAACAAAAAAAAAUCAUUAAAAACUUAAUCAAGAACUGGUGGGUCAUCCAAAUUAAUUUCGGUGUCCUCGUCACGUGGGUGAUGUUCCAGAUAUGGUUUUAAUCUUUGACCAUUAACUUUAAAUGUGACACCAUUAUUUGGAUUCUCAAUUUCUAUGGCCCCAUAUGAAUAUACAUUUUUUACAACAAAUGGGCCACUCCAUUUUGACUUUAACUUUCCUGGAAAUAAAUGAAGACGAGAAUUAUAAAGCAACACUUUUUGACCAAUCUCAAAUGUUUUUCGAAAAAUUCUUUUAUCAUGAAAUGCUUUUGUUCUUGCCUUAAUAAUUCUUGAAUUUUCAUAUGCAUCAUUCCUUAAUUCCUCAAGUUCAUUCAAUUGCAAUUUUCGCACAUUACUAGCAUCAACCAAAUUUGAAUUAAAAGCUUUAAUAGCCCAAAGUGAUUUAUGUUCAAGUUCAACAGGUAAAUGACAAGGUUUACCAUAAAUUAACCGAUAGGGUGACAUUCCUAAUGAUGUUUUAAAUGCAGUGCGGUAAGCCCAAAGUGCAUCAUUAAGUCUAAGAGACCAAUCUUUUCGGUUUGGGUUAACCGUUUUUUCCAAAAUUUGUUUUAUCUCCCUAUUUGCUAAUUCAACUUGACCAUUUGUUUGAGGAUGAUAAGGGGUAGCAAUUUUAUGUGUAAUUCCAUAUUUCUUCAUUAAAGACUCAAAUGACUUAUUACAAAAAUGCUUACCUCCAUCACUGAUAAUGGCUCGAGGGAUUCCAAAUCGACUUAAAAUGUUUUCUCUUAAAAAUUUAAUCACAGUUUUACUGUCAUUAUUUCGACAAGAAAUUGCUUCAAUCCAUUUUGAGACAUAAUCAACUGCAACUAAUAUAUACACAAAUCCAAAAGAUGAUGGAAAUGGACCCAUGAAAUCAAUUCCCCAACAGUCAAAUAUUUCAAUUUCAAGUAUGGGAUUUAAGGGCAUCAUGUUUCUUUUUGUAAUUGAUCCCAAUUUUUGACAUUUUUCACAACUUUUGCAAAAUUCAUAUGUGUCUUUAAACAUGGUAGGCCAAUAAAAUCCACACUGCAAAAUUUUAGCAGUAGUUUUUCUUGAAGAAAAGUGACCACCACAUGCUUCAGAAUGACAAAAAUUAAUGACACUACUUACCUCAUUAUCAGGAAUACAUCGCCGAAAAAUUUGAUCUGGGCAAUAUUUGAACAAAUAAGGAUCAUCCCAAUAAAAUUUCUUUACUUCAACAAAAAAUUUCUUCUUCUCUUGAGCAUUCCAUUGCAAAGGCAUUUUACCUGUAACAAGAAAAUUAACAAUAUUAGCAUACCAUGGCAUUGAAGUAACAGAAAAUAAAAAUUCAUCAGGGAAAGAAUCAUUUAUGGGUGUUAUAUCAUUGCAGAAUUCGGAUGUGAGUCUUGAUAGAUGAUCAGCAACAACAUUUUCAGCACCCUUUUUAUCUUUGAUGGUAAGGUCAAAUUCUUGUAGUAACAAAAUCCAACGAAUUAGUCUCGGUUUGGCAUCCUGUUUACUCAUCAAAUAUCUCACAGCAGCAUGGUCAGUAAACACAACAGAUUUAGAGCCAAGCAAAUAUGAACGGAAUUUGUUUAAUGCAAAUACCACAGCAAGUAAUUCUUUUUCAGUUGUAGAAUAAUUCAUUUGAGCACUAUCCAAAGUCUUGCUCGCAUAAUAAAUCACAAAAGGCUUACCAUCCCUUCUUUGUCCUAAAACAGCACCAACAGCAAAAUCACUUGCAUCACACAUUAAUUCAAAUGGCAAAGACCAAUCAGGAGAUUGCAUAAUAGGUGCAGAUGUUAAAAGACAAAUUAUUUUUUCAAAAGAUUUUUGGCAAUCAUCAUUCCAUUCAAACGGUGCAUCUUUUAAUAAGAGGUUACAAAGUGGUUUAGAUAUGGCACUAAAGUUUUUUAUAAACCUCCUAUAAAAUCCUGCAUGUCCUAAAAAGGAUCGCACAUCUCUAACUGUUUUUGGUUGUGGCAAUUUAGAUAUGACUUCGAUUUUUGCUUUGUCAACUUCAAUUCCUUUAAUAGAAACAACAUGACCCAAAACAAUUCCAGAAGUAACCAUGUAGUGACAUUUUUCCCAAUUCAACACGAGUUCUUUUUCAACACAUCUUUUUAAAACUUUCUCCAAAUUAUCAAGGCAAUCAUCAAAAGAAUUCCCAAACACAGUCAAAUCAUCCAUAAAGACCUCUAAACAAUGUUCAACCAUAUCACAAAAAAUGCUUAACAUACAUCUUUGAAAUGUUGCAGGAGCAUUACAAAGCCCGAAUGGCAUUCUUUUAAAUGCAAAUGUUCCAAAAGGACAUGUGAAUGUGGUCUUUUCUUGGUCCUCAAGUGCUAUAGGAAUUUGAUAAUAACCUGAAUAUCCAUCUAAAAAACAAUAGUAUGGAUGUCCUGCUACUCUUUCUAAGAUUUGGUCAAGGAAUGGUAAUGGAAAAUGAUCUUUUCUAGUGGCUUCAUUUAAUUUUCUAUAAUCAAUGCACAUGCGCCAACUAGAUGUAAUUCGUGUUGGAAUUAAUUCACCUUUUUCAUUUUUAACAACAGUGAUUCCAGAUUUUUUAGGCACUACUUGUGUAGGACUUACCCACUUACUAUCAGAAAUAGGGUAGAUAAUUCCCACAUCAAGUAAUUUAAGGACUUCUAUUUUGACUACCUCUUUCAUGUGUGGGUUUAUCUUCUUUGAGGUUGUUGACAUAUUUUAGCAUUUUCUUCCAAAUUAAUUCUAUGUGUGCAGAUUAAGGGAUUAAUGCCUUUAAUGUCAUUUAAAGUCCAUCCUAUUGCAUUUUUAUGCUUUUUAAGAACAGUAAGUAACUUACCUUCUUGGUCGCUUGUUAAAGUAGAAGAAAUCACAACAGGAUAAGUUUGUUCUUCUCCAAGAAAAGCAUAUUUCAAUCCUUCAGGCAAAGGUUUCAAUUCCAUUUUAGGCGCUUCUUGUUGUUCUAUCUUUUCAAUACUUCCAAGCUCCUCAAAUUUUGGCUCGUCAUCAUAAUUUUGCGAAGUCUGCAUAGAAUCAAGCAACGAAUUUAUAUUAGAAAUAUCAAGUUUAAGUUGCUUAUUUGACUCAAUUGAAUUAACUAAACAAACAUUAGAAAGUUCAGAAAAAUCCCCUUUUUGAAUAUUUUCCUCGAUACAAGAUUCAAACAAUUCCUUUUGUUCAUCAGUAUCAUCUUCAUUCUCAUUUUCUUCAUUAGGUUGCCUGCACAUGUUGAAAACAUUCAAUUCCAAAGUCAUAUUCCCAAAGGAUAAAUUCAUUAAACCAUUCCUACAAUUAAUCAAAGCAUUAGCAGUUGCUAAAAAUGGUCGACCUAAAAUUACAGGAAUUGGUUUGUAAUUAUUCACAACAGGUUCAGUUUCCAAGACAAUAAAAUCCACAGGAUAAAUAAAUUUAUCAACUUGUACUAAAACAUCUUCCACUAUUCCUUUUGGUACUUUAACUGAUCUAUCGGCAAGCAAAAGUGUAGUUGAAGUUGAUUUUAACUCACCAAGAUUAAGUUGAAGAUAAACUGAAUAUGGAAGCAAAUUAACACUAGCACCAAGAUCUAGUAAAGCAUGCUCAAUUCUGUGGUUACCAAUAAUACAAGAAAUGGUAGGACAACCAGGAUCUUUAUAUUUCAACUUAUUAUUAGUAGACAGAAUUGUACUUACCUGUUCGGCCAUGAAAGCACUCUUUCUUACCUUCAAUUUCCUCUUAACAGUGCACAAGUCCUUUAAAAAUUUGGCAUAUGAAGGAACCUGCUUGAUUGCAUCUAAUAGAGGAAUGUUAACUUUCACUUGCUUAAAGAUUUCAUAAAUUUCAGAAGAGUGGUUUGAUUUCUUUGGUUUAUUCAAUGCAUGCGGAAAUGGUGGUUCAGGUGGAACACUAGUUAUUUCUUCACUAGGUGUAAGUUCAUUUAGUCCUUCCUUACCCUUUGAAUUUUCAUCAUUUUCAUAAGGUUCAGGCAUAGGUCUAUCAACAACCUUACCACUACGAAGAGUUAUAACUGACUUGACUUGGUCUGUGGGUGGAUUUUGUUGAAUUUUAGGAUUUGGUUGUGGUUGGGCUGGAAAUUUUCCUUUUUCUUGAAUGGUGAGUGCAGAAGCAAUUUUAGCAAGAGUAUCUUUCAAAUCAGAAAAAGUUUGUGCAUUUUGAUUGUUAAUAACAUCUUGCUUUCUGAUGAAUGAAUGCAUUGUGUCCUCCAGAUUUUUCCAAGGUGGUGGAACAUAUGGUGCAUAAGGCUGAGGAUUUUGAAAAUUUUGUGGAGGUGGUGCUUGUGAAGAUUGUGCAUUAUUAUUAUUCCUCCAACUGAAAUUCGGAUGAUUUUUCCAACCAGGAUUAUAAGUCUGUGAAUAUGGGUUUGGUUUAUUGAAAGUGUUAAUAACAUUAGCUUGAUCAUUUAGACAUUCUUUAAGUGCAGGCAAAGUGGGACACUCUUGAGUGAAAUGAUCAUUCGAAUUACAUAUGUUACAUGCAAUUUCUUGAACAGAUUUUACUUGAUCACUCUUUUUAUGCUCCAAAGCUUCAACUUUCCUAACUAGGGAUGCAAAUUUUGCUUGUAAAUCAUGAUCUUCCCUAAGGUUAUGGAUUCCUCCACUAGAUGGAGAUGAUUGUUGCUUAUUUGUCAAUUCAAAAGUUCCAACAGUAUCCCAAUGUUGUGCAUUUUCAGCUAAUUGGUCAAGGUAAUCUAGUGCAUCUUCAGGAUUUUUAUCCCUAAAUUCACCAUUACACAUCAUUUCAACAACCUGUCUACUUUGGGGUAUUAAGCCUUCGUAGAAAUAAGUGACCAAUCGCCAAGUUUCAAAACCAUGAUGUGGGCAUAUGUUAAGCAACUCUUUAAACCUAUCCCAACAUUGGUAUAAUGUUUCUCCAUUUUUUUGAGUGAAAGAAGUGAUUUGCCUUUUAAAAGAAUUUGUUCUAUGAGGUGGAAAGAAUUUUUUCAAAAACUGUUCUUGCAUGUUAUUCCAAGUUCUUACUGAUCCAGAUCUAAGGUUUUGUAGCCAAGUUUUAGCUUUAUCUUUUAAUGAAAAAGGAAAAAGCUUUAAUCUAAUUAUGUUCAUGCUACAAUUUUGGUCCGUGUAUGUAUUACAAACUUCCUCAAAAUCUCUUAGAUGCAAGUACGGAUUCUCAGAUUCUAAACCAUGAAAUGUUGGUAAAAGUUGGAUAAUACCUGGUUUAAAAUUGAAUCGAGAUGCUUCUGGAGGAAAUACUAUACACGACGGUGCUCCGGUUCUGGUUGGAUUCAUGUAGUCUCUCAGAGUCCUUGGUUGAUUCUGAUCAUGCCCAUGUUGAGAUUGGUUGUCUCCCUGAUCAAUUUGAGGAUUAGGUUCGCCCAAAACGUUUUCGCCUUGAUUCUCAUCCAUGAUUGGUGGUGGAGAUUGAGAUCUACGAAUUAACCUGCCACUUGAAGAUCGAGACCAAUGUCUCAUGCAAGGGUUAUGUUAUAAAGAUAAUAUUUACACAAAUUGAUAACAAAAUAAAAUAAAAAAAUAAAUAAGUAAAUAAUAUAAGUAUACAAAAGAAAAUUAAAUAACAAAAAUGGUGGUUGAACCCACCAAUUAAAAAAAUAAAAAAUGCAAAAUUAAAUAAAUACUGAAAAUUAAAUAACUGAAAAUAAAAGUUAAGGGUUAGUAGUUAGUUUGGUGGUUAAACCCACCAAUAAAGCAAAAAAAAAUAAAUAAAUAAAUAAAUAAAUACGAAAUAAAAUAAAUGCAGAAAAUUAAAUAACUGAAAUUAAAUAAAAGUUAGGAGUUAGCAGUUAGUAAGUUAAGAGUUAGUAAUUAGAGUUAGUAGUUAAAGUUAGUUUGGUCCAAAAUAAGUCCAAAUAUGUCCAAAGUAUGUCCAAAUAUGUCCAAAGUAUGUCCAAAUAUGUCCAAGUCUUGAUUAUGUUGAGGAAUUUCGUCUAGGGAUUCUAUUGCAAAUUAUUUUUAAUUUUAUGGUCAAACUAUAAUUUUUAGAAGUUUAGAAUUAGCAAUUUGGGAUGAAAGUGAAACAAUUGAAAGAUAUCGCGGUCCGAACAUAAUUACCAGAAGAUUGGGCUAGAAACGGAAAUUGUUGGGGUGAAAUUAGAAUUAUGAAAGAUAUGGGGACAAAAGAGAAUUUAAGAAAAGGAAAAGGGGGCAAACGAAAUUUUACAUAUAAGAGAAAAAUAAAAACGGAAAAACAAACCAAAUAAAAAACUUUUCCCCGGCAACGGCGCCAAAAACUUGACACAACUUAAAAGUAAAUUUUAACUCCCAAGUAUAAGAGUGUCUUGUUGUAUUAUAACUCGGUGAGUCCGAGGUCGAUCCACAGAGAAAAGAUUUAAUUAGUUUAUUUUAUUUUAUCUAAAAAUUGAAAUUAAAACUUGAAUAUAAACAACUUAAUUUAAAUGAAACUAUGGAAUUGAACUAGUUAGGGUUAUGGAUCCACUCUUAGAAAUAAAUAAAACUUAAUAAAUUCUUUUUGCCAAUUUGUUUUAGAUUUAUUACUCAAAAGAUUAAUUAUACAAAUUAUUAUUAUUUUCCCUUUAAUUUUAUGGUGGAUUAAGUAUUUAUUGUGCCAAAAUUUAAUUUGUCUACAAUAAGUCAAAAUACCAUUUCAUCAUGCCUUAUAUUAAGAUCUUAAGAAUUUAUUGUGCCAAAUUCAUUUGUUUGUCUACAAUAAAUCAAAUUUUCAAAAUAUAAAACAUGUAUAAAAUUAAAUAGAAAAUAAUUUAAUUUAUAAAAUUAAACAUAGAAUUUGAUUAAAUCCUAUUUAUUUCUUAAGAGUUUCACCUUCCCCUAACUAAUAUUAUUUAGUUAAGCAUAAUUAAAAUAAAAAGAAGUAGUAAAAUUGAAUUACUUAUAAUUAAAAGAAAUAAAAACAACUAAAAUUGGAAAUAAAACUAAUUUUAUUAAUGAAAAUAAUUAUACAAAAUAUUAAAAACACACCUGGAAAUCAAGAUUACAAGGAGAUGGAGAGAAUUUGAGAAGAAGAGAGUUGUAGAGAGAUGAUUAAAACAUAAAAAUGAGGCUCUAUUUAUAGAAAAAUAAAUUCAUAAUCCAGUGCUUUGCGGUCCAUCAUAGGCUUCAUGCAUGUGCUCCUCACAACCCUUAGAUCAAGAUCCAAUGGCUGGUCAAACUUCAAAAGUCAACAUCACACAUGGCAUCAUUUGACUCGUCCGAUUUACCCAAAGAACGGUUGAGAUUUGGCGGGUUAAUGGAUGGAUCGGGUCGACCCGAAUACAAAGAUUCGGAUCCUCCAACUUGCUUCACCAACCAUUGCCACGUGGCACAAUCAUGGCCAUUGAAUCAUGAACGGUUGAGAUUUAGUCAAGAUUGCCAAUUAUCCCAUGCACUCAUAUCUAUUGUAAGCUCAUUUCAUCAUCCAAUCAGUGCUCGGUCAACAGGAAAAGUCAACUUUUUUUACACAAGCCCAAUUUUAAGCCGAUCUUGACUGAUCUUAAGGUUUUCGGACCUCCGGAAUCCAAAUUUGACCUCCGUUUAUCUGUUUGGAGCCUCGAAGUACGUGAAAUUAAUAAUUUUCCUAAUAAACACAUAAAAAUACACAAAAUUAAAUAUAUUUAAAACAUAAUUAAUAAUUCAUAAUAUAUUACAUAAACACAAAUAUAAAUUAUAACAUAAGCAUAAAAUAACAUAUUAUCGCUUGAUAAUUAAACAAUUUUUAAUACUAAUCAUUUCUUACUUGUGGUGUCUUCCUUAAUGUACUUAGACUCCAAUAAGUCCUCUAUUUCUUUUGCUGUGGAUUUUGUUGUGGUACUUAUCAAAACAAAGUACUAGCAAUGGCAUUGUAAAUGUGUCCUAUGCACAGGUAGACAUCUUGCUUCCACUUUUGCCACACUCAAGUUUCUCAUCCUCACGUUCUUCAGGCUUUCAUAUUGUAAGAACAUAAACAACAUUGAGGCUUGUCAACAAGAAAUGUAAUGUUUUUUGCCAACGUAUAAAAGUUGUGACUAGGGGUGGGCAUGGGUUGGUUUGGGUUGGUUUUUAAGUCAAUCCAAACCAAACCAUAAAAAUUUGGAUCCAACCCAAACCAACCCAAAUAUUUUUAACCCAAACCAAACCAAACCAUUUGGGUUUGGUUUGAAUUUUAUUAUCAAAAUAAUUUUUAUUUUAAUAAAAUUUAAUUAUAUCAAAAUUAUAAUAAUUAUUAAUUGUUAUUAAUUAUUAAAUUGAUAUUAAAAUAUAAAAAAAUAUAGUGGAUAAAAAUUAUAAAUUUUACAAUAACUUAAUCCUUAAAUUAAAGAAUACUAGAAAAUCAAAAUAAAGUUUAAUCACAAAAAUUAUUAUUUCUCAAUAAAUAAGAACAUACACUUUAAUAAUAAACUUUCACAAACAUGACAUUAACAAUCUAAUAAUAAAUUAUUUUUAACAUAUAUUAUUUUUCCCCCUUCUCCUUUUAUAAUGGCCAAAAACCCCUCUAAUAGUAUAAGUUUACAAUAUUACCCUUAUUUUCAACUACUCUUUUAUUUCUAUUUAUUCUAAAUUAAAUAAAUCAUAUGAAUAGAAACUAAAUAAAAAAUAAAGCAUUAAAAAUAAGAAAUAUAUGUUUUGAUAUGAACAAAAAAAUUAAUAAUAAAAUUUUUUUAUACUUAUUUAUUUUGUGAAAAUUUUCUUAUAAUAAAUAUAUAAGAAAAUUAUUAGUCAAAUGAUAAAAAAAUUUUAUAAGAAAACUUGAAUGACAAAUAAAAAUUUAUUAUAAGAUAAAUAAUAAAAUAUUUUACCUAUACUUUUUACAUUUAAUUUUAAAAUAUUACAAAAUAUUUAUUAUAAGAAAAUGUUCACAAAAUAAAUAAUUACAAGAAAAAAUUUUAUUAUUAAUUUUUCUGCUCAUAUCAAAACAUAUAUUUCGUGUUUUAAUACUUAAUAUAGGCAUUACAUUCAAUUAUUGACCAAAAAUUAGCCGCCAUCUAGCAUAUCGGACCCAGUCCAAGCCGAGUUAUUAUUGAUCAUUAGUAGAGUCUCCUGCUCUUUCUAUGAUGAUCCUUCCAUGUGGGAGGAAUUAUUUUUGUAAAUAAGAAAAAAAAUUAUUUAUGUUAUUUACAAUAAUAUUUAUUUAAUUUAAAUUUAUUUUUACUAUUAUUUUCAUUUUCUAACUGUUGACAAUUGAUCACGCUGUAAAAAAUUUAAUGGUGGUCUUUCACUUAUUUGUGUUCAUUUAUUUUGUUUUCAUUUAUUUCAUUUGAAAAAUUUGAGUGUUGGGGUUUUGUCAAUAACCCAUGGGUAAACCAUACCCAAACCAUAAUGAAAUGGUUUUCUACAUAAAACCCAUAUCUAACCAAUUUUCAUGAUUUACCCAACCCAAACCAUUUAAUUUGGUUUGAGUUUGGAUAAACCCAUGGGUUGUGGGUUUAUGCCCACCCCUAGUUGUGACCAUCAACUGCUCUAAUUUAACAAAAUCUACUGUGAAUUGCGGAUGAGAUGAGCUCAGUGUCAUUGUUACAGAAAGAACGUCUUAUGAAUGUCGGGAAAAUAUAUUUUUAGGGAAUGAAAAAUGUAAUAAUGGCAAACGUAGAGAGUUACAGUAAUAAUGAUUAUGCCACAAAGAUAAUGAGUCAAUUAUGUAAUAAUGACAAACAUAGAGAGUUGCAGUAAUAAUGGUGGAAUUUUUUUCUAAUAAAAUAAUGAGUUUACUACUCUGUAGGUACAACGAAAAUAAUAGUAAUAAGUAAAUUGUAGAAAUUAACGUGUAUUUCAAGGCACUUUACAAAUAUUACUUUCUUUAGACGUUAUUCGCCCCCAUCAAUUGAGUGAUGAAUAUGGGUUAAACAAAUACGCAUCUACGAUACAAUGAAACACUUAUUUAUUUGUUUGCAUUGGGUAUCGACAAAAGCAAACCUAAAUACUCUUGAAUGUUGCAAGCUUGUCAAGAAUCAAUAUAAUUGUUCCUGUAGUAAACAAUAUGUUGGAUAUUUAAUGCAUAAAAUAUAGAUGUUAUAUGAUAAAAUUCGUUUUAGAAAGGAGAGUUUAGAAAAGAGUGUUAUAAGAAUGUUAUUUUCAUGUCUAAAUGGCCUAAACAUGGCCUCUAUUUAUAAAUAUAAUUGUGCCCUCCAUUUGGAUUGUCAUUUUUCAUGAUACCCAUUCGUUUAUGGUCAUUGGAUCAAGAUUUGAUUUUAAUCAAUUGUCUAAAUAAGUACAUCACCAUUUCAAAUGAAAUGACAAUGUGAAAUGAUACAUUUUUAAGUGGAAAGAUACCUUUUAUAUGGGACAAUUACUAGGACAAGUUUUUAUAAUAAAACAUCAUUUAUUUUGAAAUUGUUACAGCCCUAAGAUUAUUCUAGGUUAAGUUAAUCUAUUAUGUAUAACUUCAGAAGGUUCAUCGGUAGAUUGCUUUAAGUUUUUGUCAUAGUUUACAAAUAUUUUGUUACUUAUAAUGUAAGAAAUUUUACAAAUGUUGGUGCUGAGUAAUCUGCAUAAUUAUUAUGAAUCAGAGAAACAGGGCAGAUGUUGUACAAUUAUUGUUGUGGUGGAGCGGAAAGUUAGCCCGGACGGUGACUGCUAUUGGGAUUUCUUUAAUUUGCAGCAUAAAAGCAUUUACAUUGACAUCGACUCAAGGGUAAAAAUUAAAUAUCUCAUGUAGCAUAAGAAGAAUGCAAAAAUGCUUGAAUGAGCAUUCUCACUGAAUACACAAAAGCUACUUUCCCUUGAGCACUUUCGCAACAAAAGCAAAUGUAAAAUGUAGCAUUUAAUUCUAACAUCAAAUGGUUGAUGCCAUCGUUUCCAUCCCUUGGGGAAAUUGAAUUCCUCUAUCUGAUAUUACAGUCUGGAGCGGCUCUUAAGUACCUCAGGCAACUUAGGGCAAUUUAGGCGGUUGCUCAGGGCCCCACAUUUAACCUAGGAUCCCAUUAUAAAUGAAGGUUUCUAAGUUAAUUCUUAAAUUAUAGUUAUUAAUUAUUGAUUUAUAUUUAUUAUUUAUAACUAUAUUUUCCAUAAACAAACUACUAGAUUCUUUCAAAUCCCCUUUUAAUAUUAUAAUUAACAAUUUUAAUCCAUUUAUUUCCUCCGUAUAUUUCAUUUAAAACUCUAUAAAGGCCACACCUUUUUUAAAUUAUUAUCCAUUAAUAUCUUUUUCCAAUUAAAGAAAAAAACAAAACCUUCAUUACUUUGGUGAAAAAACUACUUUCUCUACCUUACUUUUUGCAUAAGGAAGAAAAGAAAAUCAAUCGUUUUACUUUCUUUUGAUCAUUGUUGCUCAAAGUCUCAAUCCAUCAAAGUUAAAUUUCUCAAAUUUUCAGGUUUUAUCUUCCGAUUCUCUUAUUAAUUAAUUGUGUUAUUUAGGUGUUUUUGUUUCUUUGUAAAAAUAUUAUUCUGUUCAUAGGUUGUUUUCUUUUAAUUAUCUAGCAUAAUAGUUUGCAUGAUUACUCUUGUUUCAUUAGAAAAAAAAAAUGUCUACUAAAAACUAUGCAUCAUGAUACAAAAAACUUCAUAAAAGGAGAAGAACAGAAAAGUUAGUUUAAUCUAAAAAACAAUGCUAUUGAUAAAAAAAUAUUUAAGAUCACCCAUUUCAUAAGAAAGAUUAAAUAGGUUAACUAUAUUGUCUAUUGAGAAAGAUAUAUUAGCAAAAUUAGAAUAUAAAAAGUUGACUAAUAAUUUUGCAUCUAAGAAAGUUAGAGAAAUUGAUUUUAAAUAAAUAAAACUUUAAUAAAUUAAUACAUAUAUUUCACCUCAAUUUUUUUAGAAGGCCUAAUUAAAUCAAUUUAUUUAAGACCUAAAAUAUGAUUGAGCCGCCUUGAAAUUGCAGUAAGAUAGAAAAGUGAAAUAGACAGAACACUUGCUCAUACGUAAAGAUGCGACGAAUUUGAGAAUACUUAUUAUUAUGUGCCAAAUUCCUAAUGUGUGGGAAUUUAAAAAUGUUAGUGCAUAACAUGUGUUUAUCGGUGGAGUAGAAUCAGGGAAAUUAAAGAUAAGCAUAAUUUUUGCAUCCAAUGCCAAAUUCCCCCAGGGAGAGAGUGGGGACUCCUUUGCAUAAAAGUUGUUAAAAGUUUAUUGUUAAUAAUAAAAAUAACAUGCAGAUACAGUAUUUUAGGUUAUUGUUAAUAGUUUUACAAUAAUAAAAAUCAUUUUGUUAGAUCGUAAAAUGUAGUACUCAUACUCUAUUUUGUGCAAAAGUCUGCGAGAAAGGAUUUCAGAUUUACCUAACGGGGAAGUUGGGAACUUGCUUUUUUACCUAGGCUAAAAAUAUUUCAAUAAAUUCUGAUCGUGGAGACUACCUGAAACGACCCGCCCCGAAACCCCCCAGGCGAGUCUAUCUAGUUACAUCAAAACAGACUUAAAAAUAAUAUUAUACGUAAAGAAUCUGCUGAAAAUUCGACAGAGUCUCCUUUAUAUAUAUAACACUCCCAAAGUACAAAUAUGAAUAUACAACAAACUCCAGUGCUCAACAUACUCAACCAAAAAUACUGAGUUAUAUAAUAUACAACCCCAAAAGAACAAGAUGACCAAGAUGUCCCAACAGAAACAUUUAUAUACUCUAGCACCAUCACGUGGCCAAGACUCAAAAUAUAUACAGUCGCUGGGUCGGUCUGGUGUACCUGCAACCUCCUGGUGAGGGGGGGAAAAUAUAAUAAAAACGGGGUGAGUUUAAAACUCAGUGAGAUUAGUGAGUGGAUAGUAGGUUUGAAAAUUGAUCUUUACUUUAAAAGAAAUAAGCAUAUCCAAACACGGUUUCAUUAAACCAUAAGUGAGAAAUCAGAAAUAAAUCAUUAAAUAUUUAAAUCAGAUUACCAACCAUAGAAAUCAUAUCACCAAAUCAUAUCGAUUUCACAAAUCUGAAAAUCAUAUCUCAUCAUAUCUCUGCAUGCAUAAUCUAGUCCCCAAAGGACAAAAGCGCCCAAGCACACGGCCCAAAGCCUCUGUGUGUACUCAGACGGGCCCCAAAGGCCUCCUUACAAUCAGAGCGCGCACCUCCCUUAUUACCCCUCAGUUUGGCGGGCCUCCCUUAUUACCCCUCAUCUAUAUCACUGUACUCAUAUUCACAUACCUCUUUACCACAUUUUAAAUCAUACCACAUUUGAAUCCACUUUUCUUAACUUUCAAAUAAUAUCACACUUUAUUCAAAAUCGAUACGCAAAAUUAUUAACCAAACAUUUUCAUAUAAUAUCAACAAGUGAAUAAAAUCCAUUUCGAGAAAUCAUUAAAUCAGCACAUUUAAAAAUACUUAUUCCGCAACCAUGCUUUACUAUCAUAAUUAACUCUAAAAAUAAGUUUCGUAUAUUCCACUCACAGUGACGGUGUUCAUAGUCGGUUAUCGUCUACGUCCGCGGACCGGUUCUCGCUCGCGGAUCCUCCUAAAUCAAGGAAACGACAUAAUUAUUCUCCGUAAAUCGGAAUUCCGACUAAAUAUAUGCAAUAACUCGAAACGAACAUUUAUCCAUAAUUAACAACUCCCGUGACGAUAAAAUUACUAAAAUGCCCUUGAGUCCGUAAAUCAUUAACAUGCUCCGAAAUCGUAAAUCACCGAAUUAUCCUCGAAAUCGUAAUUACACCCAAUUCACAAUUCUAUGAAUUACUGAAAUAUCCACAGGCUCAGAAAUGACAAAAUUGCCCUCAUAGUGUGAAAUUACCAAAAUGCCCUUGCCGGUCAACGGUCACCGGAAUUUGGUCAACGCUGGCCAGGAAGCUCAAAUCUUAAAGUGCCAAUCACGCUGAGUUCAAUGGUACCGGCGGUGAGCUCCAACGCGCGGCAACGACGCCGGAAUCUAGCUCGACAGCCGUGAGUUCCAACAAUCGACCGGCAGCAAAACGACGACUCUCGGUGCCUAUGAAUGGUCGGAAAUGGAAGAGGGAGUCAUGAGGAACAAAAUCCAACCGGUGGUGUCACUCAAAACCGGCGAAAAUCUCGGCGGAGUAAAGUGAAGCAGUCGCGGGUUUCAAGCUUCGAUCGCCGGCGUUCCGGUUCGUUUUCGGCAGUGAGGAUGGCAGGGGAACGACGGUCGGCUUCUAAGCUUCAGAUCGGUACCAAGCUCGGCCAAAACGGUGGUCGGAAACGUGAAAUCCGUCCGGGUUAAAGUCGCGGGUCGGGUCGGAUCCGGCGGGUCAAGAUCGGGUAAGUUGGCAGCUUCUCUCUCUCUGUUUUGCACGUGCAUGUGUUUUUCCUCUGUUUCCAACAUAUUCCUUUGCUUAUAAACUCUUUCACCGCCUCAUGCCAUUUUACAUUCACAGGUAUUACACUACCAAGAGUUUUUUUUAGUCAUAUAUAUUUAUUUUUUAGGGACCAAUAUGAAUAUUACUAAUUUUAUCGAGAUUAUUAAAAAAACAAUGUGCUAAUUUACCAAUAUGAUUUCUCCAAUCUUUUUUCUUUUCGUCAUUUAUUCCUUUGUGAAUUUGAGUUAAUGCUUGAUAUUAUUUUUGUGCUCAUUUUUUAAAGUAGAAGAUUAUGAAAAAGUGAACACACAAAAAGCAUAAAAAUUAUUAUUAGAUCCAAAUUUGUGCUAUUUCAUACAUAACUUGAGAAUAUUUAUAAUUACGCAUCACAACUAGUGGAGUAGAAUCAGGGAAAUUAAACAUUCUACAGUCAUUGACGUGUGGGGUGGGGAUAAGCAUAAACCUUUUCUAUGCAGUAUAAAAGAGUGCAAUAACUCCUUUUCUUUCAGUAUCAUCGCAACAAAAGCACAUCUAAUAACUCUUCAGAAUUCUCGUCUUCUUUGUCAGAAUGGUUGAUGCAAUCGUUUCCUCUCUCCUGGAGCAGCUGAUCUCUGUUGCGGCCGAUAAAGUGAAACAACAGGUGAGGCUUGUGACUGGUGUCCGAGAAGAAGUGAAAAAGCUUACCAGCAAUCUUCAAGCCAUUCGAGCUGUGCUGGAGGAUGCAGAGCAAAGGCAAAUGCAGCAAGACAAAGCUGUUACUUUUUGGCUGGAUCAGCUCAAAGACGCAUCCUACGACAUGGAAGAUGUGUUGGACGAGUGGGUCUUUGCAAGGCUCAAAUUGCAAAUUGAGGGCGUUGAUGAUGACAAUGCUUUUUCCCUUGCUCCUCACAAGAAGAAGGUACGUUCCUUCUUUCCUGCUGUAUCAAACUGCUUUGGUAGUUUCAAACAACUUAGUCUUCGUCUUGACAUUGCUGUCAAGAUUAGGGAAAUCAAUGAAAAGCUAGAUGAUAUUGCCUCCCAAAAAGCUAGGUUUAAAUUUGUUGAAAAUGUGAGUAACCAUGUUAAAAAACUGAAACAAGCGCGAACCACCUCCUUGAUUGAUGAGGGAGAGGUCUGUGGUAGAGUUGACGAGAAAAACGAGCUCUUAAGCAAGUUGUUGUUUGAAAGUAGCGAACAACAAAAAGGCCUUCAUGUCAUCUCACUAGUUGGGUUAGGGGGCAUAGGUAAAACCACUCUUGCACAACUGGCCUAUAAUAAUGAUGAGGUGAAAAGAAAUUUUGAAAAAGUUAUAUGGGUGUGUAUCAGACACUUUGGAGGAGAUUAGGGUUGCCAAUGCAAUCAUUGAAGGUCUAGCCGAGUCAGCUUCUAGUUUAAGCGAAUUUCAAUCUCUUCUAAGCCAUAUCCAUAGAUCAAUUGAAGGAAAAAAAAAUUUUCUUGUCUUAGAUGAUGUAUGGGAUGGGGAUUACAAAAAAUGGGAACCAUUCUUCCUAUGUUUAAAGCAUGGUCUCCACGGAAGUAAAAUUUUGGUUACUACACGUAAUGAGUCAGUUGCACGUAUGAUGGGAUCAACAAAUAUUAUUUUCAUUGAGCAAUUGACUGAAGAGGAAUGCUGGUCGUUGUUCAAGCGGUUAGCAUUUUUCGGUCACUCUUUCGAGGAUUGUGAAAGAUUAGAACCAAUCGGGCGAAAAAUUGCACGCAGGUGCAAAGGCCUGCCUCUUGCUGCAAAGGUAAUAGGGAAUCUCUUGCGCUCUAAAAGUACAAUAAAAGACUGGCAAAGAAUUUUAGAUAGUGAAAUGUGGAAGGUAGAAGAGCUAUGGAAAGGUCUUUUGACUCCUUUAUUGUUGAGUUAUAAUGAUUUGUCGUCCAAUUCUAUGGUAAAACGAUGUUUUUCAUAUUGUGCUGUCUUUUUGAAAGACUACAAUAUGUAUAAAGAGGAACUAAUUUCACUAUGGAUGGCUCAAGGUUACCUUAAUGCAGAAGAAUAUGAAGAGAUGGAGAUUACUGGGGAAGAGUGUUUCAACAUUUUAGCAGCACGCUCUUUCUUUCAAGAGUUUGAGAAAAAUGAUGAUGAUGAUAUUAUGAGUUGCAAGAUGCAUGACCUAGAACAUGAUUUUGCUCAAUUUGUAAGUAGCAAUGAAUGUUUGUGGCUAGAAUUUAGUGGUACCAGAGAAUCAGUCAUAAACCCUUUUGGUGAGAAAGUCCGUCACUUAGGGUUAAAUUUUAAAGAAGGCGCUUCAUUUCCUAUGUCCAUUCAUGGACUUAAUAGAUUGCGUACCCUCCUAAUUGAUGAUGAAAGUCCUUUCAAUUCAUCUCUUAAUAAUAGCAUCCUUCCAGAGUUAUUUAGUAAUUUGGCGUGUUUGAGGCCAUUAGUUAUAAGGCAAUCAUCCUUGCUUUUUCGUUAUCCCCCAAAUGGGAUUAGAGAAAUUCCAGAAAAUGUCAGAAAAUUGAUACAUUUGAAAUGUCUUAAUUUGUCUGAAUUACACAUAAAGAGACUACCUGAGACUUUGUGUGAAUUAUAUAAUUUACAAAAGCUAGAUAUUAGGGGGUGCCGAAAUCUAAGAGAAUUGCCUGUGGGGAUCGGGAAGUUAAAGAACAUGAGGAGUUUACUAAAUGGUGUUACUCGUUCGUUGAAGUACAUGCCAAUAGGGAUUUCCAAAUUAACCAGUCUUCGAACAUUAGACAAGUUUGCUGUGGGUGGAGGUGUUGAUGGUGGCAGUACGUGUAGGCUUGAAUGUCUGAAAAAUUUUCGACUCAUUCAAAAAUGUGGAAUAGAAGGGCUGAGUAAUGUGUCACAUUUAGAUGAGCCUGAGAGAUUAGAACACAAAAAUAUGGAAAACCUCCUUCAUUUGUAUCUUUUGUUUGAAGUUGUAGAUUAGGAAGAUAAAGAAGAGGAUGAAGAUGAAGGUGGGGAAGAUGAAGGUGAAGAUGGAGGAUAUGAAGAAGAAGGAGGUGAAGUUGUAAAUGUGGAAGAUGAAGAAAGGAGGAGGAAGAAUGAGAAAGAUGAACAACUUCUUGAAGCCUUAAGCCGCCUUUGAAUGUAGAGGAAUUAUGGAUUUUAUUAUAUGGAGGCAGCAUUUUUCCCAAAUGGUUGACUUCGCUAACCAAUCUAAGGAAUUUAUUUCUUCACGGGUGUCUUAACUGUGAGCAUUUGCCUCCUCUGGGAAAAUUGCUUCUGGAAAAACUCGCCCUGCAAAAUUUGAAUAGUAUAAAAAGAGUGGGCAAUGAGGUUUUGGGAAUAGAGGAAAGUAGUGAUGAUGACCCGUCUUAAUCUUCAUCAUCAUCAUCAGUUAUUGCCUUCCCCAAAUUGAAAUCACUCAAAAUUUGGGACAUGGAAGAAUUGGAAGAGUGGGAUUACAGGGUUACGAGGAAGGAAAACAUCUCCAUCAUGCCACGUCUUUCUUCCUUGGAAAGGUGUUGCCAGAUGACCUUCUUCAAACGUCGACACUGCAGGAAUUGAGUAUUGGGGGAUGUCCUAUUUACUUCAGUGUACGAUAAUUUGUUACGUGAAACUUCUUGAGAGACUGAAUUUCUGGGGUACUUUGUAGUAAUGUUGAAAACUAAGUGAUGGCUGGGUCUGCUCUGUUUCAGUUGAGGAUGGUUUGCUUCCUGGAAGACAUGCUGAUUAUUAUUGCAUGAUAUUAAGGUGCUGAGAUCAUCAUUUCUAUCUUGUUUCUUUCUUUGAUCGGUUUAUCCUCUAUAAGCAUAUGGAAUUAUGCUAGUAUUAUCACUUCUUCACUCAAUUUUCACUGUUGGUUGUAAUAACCAUUUCAGGUUCUCAAAAGCCUCAAAGCAAAGCAUCUUUGGGCUGAUCAUAUAUUUCAAUUGACGAAGCAAUUCGAUGUUGGCACUAUUAUGCAGGUAACCAGAGUUGAUAAUUUGCACAAAUUUGCAUUGUCAGAAUACCCUUCAUAUUCACUGUGUUUCUUUGUGUAGGUAUGUAGAGUAUCAUCUUCAAGGGUUGUAAGAGCCUUUGCAGUAAAUUUAGCUGCUCGUGCAAUUGCUCAUUCAUCGGAGUACAAUUUUGGAUUUUCAAGGUUUGUAUGCUCAGUUGUAAUUAAAAUGCUUAGUCACUUAUUCCUAAUCUUUCUGAUUUUCAAGUUGUUUUAGGUCCAUAAACAGUUUUCAAACAUGUUUCAAUGCUUCUUGUAAUGACAAUUUCAUAUCUUGCAUCUCUAACGUGCAUCACGUUUGAAACAGCUUUCGCGGUAAAGUCUUCGAUGCUUCUACAAUGGCUGUGAAGAGGCACAUUAAAUUCGGUACAUUUUGGUACGGCCUCCCAAUGCUGGUAUAAUGUUGUGUAUAUUUAGUUUGCAAUUAAAACUUAGGUAUACAAAUCUUAAUCUGCAAUAGAUCGUAGUGUACAAAGUUUUCUAUUAAUGAUAUGGUGACUGAAAGUUUAAUUAUCUUAAAAUUUUUCUAUGACUCUCUUUUACUUUCUUUGUACAGAGUACCUGUUUUGGCUGAUGUGUCUAAUUCAUAGAAAUUCAUUUCCAUCGGUUUCCAUUGGUUUGAGCACAAACAGAAACAGAGGUCUGAGGAAAAGUUUUAUUUCUUGCGGUAUUAUGCCUUUGUUUCUUUAUUCACCAUAUUUGUUCGAAUUCAUGCCCUCAUUAAGAAUUUAAAGCCUUUUCCAGGCAGCUUUGUAGGCUACCUUAUGAAAUUGGAAAGUUAUUAUUGCUUGAAUGCAAGCACCGUCUUCUGUUGCGAAGGCUUUCCCCACAUGAUGAGAUGCUGUGAUUGUUACCGGACCCUUAAUUAUUUAACUCAGGAUUUUAUCAUCAACCACAUCAUCUUAUUCACCAUUUUGGAUAUAUAUAAAGAUUAAAAUUUCUAACAGUUGUUUCGGAUUCUUGUGUAAUCAGAUAAAUGGGGCAAAUGUCAGAACAAAGAUUGUUCAGUGUUGCUGGUAGGGCAAGGAUGAUGAUGGUGAGGAAGAUUGUUCACAAGCCAAGUAGAGCUAGGGAUGGCAAAACAUCGGGUCGGGCUCGGGCUUGGCCAAACCCGACCCGACCCGAUCAACAAAGAAUUAAAGCCCGACCCUAAAAAAGCCCUACCUAUUUAUAAUUAGGGUUGGGUCGGGCUCGACCCGAAUCGGACCAACCCUACCGAAAUCUAUAAUAGCAACAGCCACCACAGAGCUAUUUUCCAAAUUCACCAAAUCGAACUCUGAAAAUCCAAUCAAACUUUGGCUUAUAAAGCCAAAAUCAUUGCUUAAUUAAACCUAUACAGAAAAUAAUACUUCCACUCGCUGAAGAUUUUCCUCGAGUCCUCAUAUGUUUCUCUGUUUACUUGUCUACGAACAGCAAACAAGAAGUUUGCUAUUUCAUAUCAGUGUCGCACAAUAAAAUAAUUAAUUAAACAAAUUAUUAAAUUUACAAAGAAAUCAAUCCCUAAGCUGGUAUAGCAUCCACUAGACUACUCUUUUUAAUCGUUAAUUAAUAAAUAGUUACUGAUCUAUAACAAAUUCUUUCCAUCACCACAAAAAUAAAAUAAAAAUUCAUUGCCAUCUAAUUGGAUUAUAAGAUACAAUAACAAUUGGCAAUUGUAUUGCCAUCUAAUUUCAUUACCUAAACUUAAUUAUAAGAAACAAAUUGGCUGCUGGAAUAGAGGACAUAAAGAAGUCAAAAAUUGAACUUACAAUUUUGGUCAUAAACUUAAUUUGAACUUACAAUUUUGGUCGGAAAUAAUUACAGAACCGAUCGAGAGUAUUGCUGGUUUUAUGGGUAAAUAAAAAAUUGUAUGCAGUGCGGCGACGGGCGGCUGGCUGGUUCACUCACGUCGCGGCGUCGCGGACGGUCACGAUGGCGGAUUGGCGGUGAGANNNNNNNNNNNNNNNNNNNNNNNNNNNNNNNNNNNNNNNNNNNNNNNNNNNNNNNNNNNNNNNNNNNNNNNNNNNNNNNNNNNNNNNNNNNNNNNNNNNNNNNNNNNNNNNNNNNNNNNNNNNNNNNNNNNNNNNNNNNNNNNNNNNNNNNNNNNNNNNNNNNNNNNNNNNNNNNNNNNNNNNNNNNNNNNNNNNNNNNNNNNNNNNNNNNNNNNNNNNNNNNNNNNNNNNNNNNNNNNNNNNNNNNNNNNNNNNNNNNNNNNNNNNNNNNNNNNNNNNNNNNNNNNNNNNNNNNNNNNNNNNNNNNNNNNNNNNNNNNNNNNNNNNNNNNNNNNNNNNNNNNNNNNNNNNNNNNNNNNNNNNNNNNNNNNNNNNNNNNNNNNNNNNNNNNNNNNNNNNNNNNNNNNNNNNNNNNNNNNNNNNNNNNNNNNNNNNNNNNNNNNNNNNNNNNNNNNNNNNNNNNNNNNNNNNNNNNNNNNNNNNNNNNNNNNNNNNNNNNNNNNNNNNNNNNNNNNNNNNNNNNNNNNNNNNUGUUAUUAGAGUGAGUAGAAAUUAAGCACAUAUCUGCGAUUUGGGUUGUCGGUGAAUGUUUUCCUUUAAUAUUUGUACACACCCAUUUCUUAGUAAAAUUUUCUUCAUGUCUAUUACUAUGACAUAGGCUAAUAGCCGUACCAUAUAACAUUAUCUUCUUAUUUCUUUAUGCUUGGUUUUGCUACAUAUCAUUUCUGUACAUUCAAGAAUGCAAUUUUGUAACUACUUAACUCUGCUUCGGCAAAGUUAAGUAGUUACAAAAUUCUUUUUUUUUUCCUUUUUCUUUCUCCGAUAAAAUUGCCACAAAUGGAAGCGAUUGGCUUGAUUUUUGCUUCUGUAAAAAGUGGUGGGAGCAAUGUCUUGUGUACCCGCAAGUUAUAAAUCGUCAUAGUUUAAAUGAAGAAUCCAGAGUUGCCAUCCAAAACUAAAGAAAUUGCAAAUUAAGUAGUUCAUUACAAAUGAUAUAUUUUGAGUUGCUAAUUAUUAAGUAUUUUAUUCAAAAAUGUUCUCGUUCCCACAAUUCCUAAUGUUUAAAGUGCAUCAUUGCUCUACUUCCGUCAUAACAGCAUAAGAGAAUUUAACAUAAUACUAAGAAAAUGAUUAUUUUACCCUAAAUGUAAAUGAUUAUUCUACCCUUGACAUAAAAUAACUAAUUUGCCCUAAUUUAAUAACGAAAAAAAUAGAUGACUGCAAUAUAGAUAUUAAAUAAUAAAUAAAAUAAAAAAUCAGAAUUAAGCUAAUUUGUUCAAGACAAUAUCUUUAGUUGGCAUGUAAUUUUCAUUAGCCGGCGUCUACUCUUAAUUUAUGUCAAAUUAAGUAAUCGCUUCGCCCCAAUAAUGUUGCCUUUGAUCUCUCAGCCCCAGUAAAAGAAUUGGCUGAAAGAGAAUGUUGGUCACUGUUUAAGCAAGUAUGCUUUUGGCGGUCCUUUGAGGAUCUUCAAAAUUUAGAACCAAUCAAAAAUAAAAAAUUUCAUACAAGUGUAAAGGCUUGCCUCUUAAUGCAAAGGUAAUACGAAGUCUCUUGCUGACAUAUACAUCCUUUACUUUAUAAUCUUUUACUUUUGCUCUUAAGCUAAAGCAUUAAAAGGCCCCAUAUCCACUCUUUAUAUAUAUAUAGGGAGAAUGACAAUUUUCUCCCAUACUAUAAUCAAUAUAUAUCAUUUACGUCCUACUUUUUUAUAAUAACCAAUAAUCCUUGGAUAGCAUAAUUUAACAAUAUUAUUUUUGGUUUAUUUUAAUUUUUGUUCAUUUGAUUUCAUAGUAGUAGUUUUCAUUUUUUUAGUUUAAAAUUUGUAAAAUGAACUAAAAUGAGAUAAUUUUGAAAAAGAAUCAAAACAAAAAAAGGCCCAAAAUUACCCCUGUUCCGAACAUUAUCUGAAUCCAUCAUAAUUGACCCAAAUUCAAAUUUAACUCAAACCCAACCUUGGCCUCAUAUAAUUAUAACCUGAUCCGAUCUAGACUCAACCCCAAAGUUUUGAUUUGAUCUAAUCCAAUUCGAAUAUUCCAAGCCAAUCAACCUAAAACCCAAUCAAGUUGAUCCAAACCCAAAUUUGCGCACUCCUAGAGGGGACCAUCACCCUAUAAGCUUUGAAUUUUUUUUGAGGUUUUUAAAUGAAAUAUUCAAAAUUAGGUAUAAAAUGACUGAUUUGCCCUGGAAUACUUGAUACAUAUAAUGAAACUUUAAUUGUAUAUUUUGUGAAAUAAAAUCAAUUAAACCUGAUUUUUUUAUUUGUUAAUUAUUUUUCAUAGCCUUUUUUAAAAGUUUGUAAGUUUGGGCCUACCUCUUUGAUUUUUAUUUUGUUCAUUUUGCUUUCUCUUGCAACAAUAGUUUCAAAUACCAGUCACAAAAUUCUCAAAUUUUGGAAUACCCUACAUACUAGCUAUAAAUAGAAAAAACUGAAUAAAAUUAAUCCCCAACUAACACUUGAAAUUUGAACUUGGGCCUCAUGAAGAUUUACUCAGAGCUCCGCCCCUGAUAUGCAAUAAAAUAUUAGUUUUGCUAGUGAAAUUGCCAAUUAUGUUUUUUUUUUUUGUAUUUUCCGCUUAGGGAAGAAGAAAUUUCCUACAACUAUUGUGGUGAAUAUCUUGUGAAUUUAUGACAGUUUAAUCUUUAGUUUGCCACUUGCUUAAAAUGAAAAAGGGAAAAGGGUAUUUAUAUCUCUAAGGUUUGGAGAAAUAGUCACCAACACUACAAGUUUUUUAAAAAGGACAUCAAGACUCCUUUUUGACCACAAUACCCUUUACCUUUAGUAUCUCGAAAAAUUUAACUUGCAAAUGAAUAAAUACAAAUAUUAUAUAAAUAAUGUAAUCUACGUUGUAGAUUAAUAAUAUUAAAAUAUUAAAAUAAAUUUAAAUAUGUAAAUUAAUAUAUUUAUUUAAUAAUAUAUUUGUAUUUAUUGUAGAGAUUUUAAAUAAAUAUUUGCAUUAAAUACAUUUUACAAUUAAAAAAGUCUCACAUACUAAUAAUGUUAAAAUUAUUAUUUUACAUAAUAAUUUAAAUUUUAAUACAUUUAUUUUAAUAUUAUGUUUACAUUUAUCAUAAAAUUUACUUUAACAUAAUAAAAUAUAUUAAUAGAUUGUAAAAUAUUAAAAUAUUUUUAAAUAUUGAAAUUAUUUUAAAAUGUAUAAAUUAUUACAUUUAUUUUAAUAUUAUAUUUCUCUUUACUAUAAAAAAUUAAAGUUAACUUUUGGGAUAAUAAAGGUAAAGGGUAUUGUAGUAAGAAAGAAGUUUUAGUAUCUUUUCUUGAAAACUUAAGAGCGUUGGUAACCAUUUCUCCAAACUUUGGGGAUAUAAAUGUCUUUUUCCUAACAAAAAAUGACAUUUUUAAUAGGAAAUAUAAUAAGCUUUGUUCUAUAGAAAAAUCCAUCAGAUAUAUUAUGCCCCCGGUUGCUAUGUUAAAAAUAAGUAAUUCUUCUUUUUGUAUAUUAAAAUAGUAAAAGGGUGGAUAAUAUUUAAAUUUUUUUUUUACCUUUUAUCUUUUUUGACAUUCGAAUUUUAAACUCGAGAAAUAGACUUCCUGAGAGGUUAACUAAAUUCUUAGUAAUUUGAUAUAAUUUCAUAACCGUUCUCCAAAAGCAAUUUUAUAAAUCAUUGUGGAAAAGCUUUAUUCCUUAGUUAUCUUUCGCAUAUUUUCUUUGUAGUAUGAUAUUUAUUAAAAUCAUUAUGGGACUGAUUUUAUUCUCUUUUUUUUCUCAACAAAAUAUCCGACUGCAGAUGUAAUAAAUUACUAAUUACAAUUAUUUGAGUCCCACUCUAAAUUAGAUUUUGAAAUAAAGUUACAUUCUCAAAUGACCAAAUGAAUUAACGAGUCUGACAAAAAGAUGUUGUCGGCCAAGUUGAAAAAUAUAAUAAAUAAAUUGUCAGGAGAUGAUUUUUUCUGAAAUUUCACUUUCAAGGUCCAGAACACAUUCAAAUUUCCGUUGAAAUUCAUAAUGGAUUCAUAUGAUCGGGCGAAAUUACACUAUACAAUUUCAUCAAUACCUAUUAAACGAUAAAAAAUUUAUUGAUUAUUUAUAAUUAAAAAAAAUCUAUCUACUAAGACUAUUCUAGAUCAACAAUUAAUAUAUUAAAUAUAACUUCAGAAGGUUCAUCGGUGUAUUGAUCUAAGCCUUUUGCAGUAGUUUAUAAAUAUUUUGUUGCUUAUAAUGUAAGAAAUUUUACAGGAGUUGAUGCUGAGUAGUCUGAAUAAGAAAAUUAAUUAUAUUGUAAGUUAUUGGGUAUUCAUAAUAAAAUAAACAAAUAAAAAAUGAAUAAAAAUUUAAAUACUUAAUUAAUUUUUAUCAAAUUCUUAUCAAAUAUUUAAAAUAUAUAUAAAAUCAAUUAAUUGAUGAUGUUGUUAAUUUUCAUGAUAUUUUUAAUAUUAUAUUAGUGAUUAUUAAAUUUAAUACAAUCAAUAAUGCUAUAAAUUAUUAAAUGGUUAAUUUUAUUGACAAAUUAUCAAAUAUGCAAAUAAUGAAAAAUUAAUCUCAAGAGUUGGUAGAAGUAAAGUUCCAAUUUAAUCAGAUGAUAGAUAAUAAAUAAAAAUAAUUUUUAAGUAAAUUAUAAAUUAAAAAAUAAUUAAUAUUAAGUAUAAAUAAACAAUAAUGAUAGAAAUUAAAGUCUCAUAAGAGUAUCUCCAAAAGACUCUUCAAAUAAGAUUCUACUUCUUAUUUGAAGAGCCAUAUCAAUAUUUAACACUCCAAAAGACACGUUAAUUUAGAUUCUUCAAAUAAGAUUUGUUUCUCACUCUUCAAUAUUGCCGAGUGAGUUUCUCCCUCUUCUAUUAAUAUUUUAUUAUUAUUUAUUGAAAAGAUAAGACUGCAAUAAUUAUUAUUUAUGUUUCUUUUAAAAAAUAUAAUAACAAUACAAUUUGAUAGUGGGAAAAUUUGAUUAAAAUAAUAUUAAUUUAUUCUUAUUUGGUGAGUCUUUUGGACGGGAUUAUAUUUUUUUAUACACUUAUUUGCCACAUCAGUAAGCAAAUUGAAAUUUAAAGAGUAAAAUUUAAAGAUCCUUUUGGAGAUGCUCUAAAUAGAUAACUUUUUUUCUUUAAUUUUAUCCCAACUAAAAUCAUGUGUAAAUUAGAAUGAUUAAUCCCAUAAUUGUAGGAUGAAACUUAAAUUUAGUCCCCGAGUCCAAUUCAAUUAAGUUUAACAAACAUGAGAUAAAUAUUUAAUCACAAAAUUAGUCCAAUUUCGUACUUAAUCCUAGUAUAUGAACAUGGAUUGAUAAAAUAAUUUAGGUAAUAUGCUUCUAUGACUUACAAUUUAAAUAAAUUUGAGAAUUUAUAUAAGGGAUGGAAAAUUCAUAAUAAUCAUAACAUGUGCUAUCUUUUCUUCCUUUUCUUAAUUAAAUAAAAGAAAAAUAUUCAUCACAGAACCACCGCUGUUUAAAAUGACCCGAUGAUCGAUGAAGUCGCAUUCGCCUAUCUAAUAUUGCGCAAUCAGAUAAAUUCUCAAAUUUAAAAUGAAUUUAAUCUGCAAUUAUAUCAAUAACUACACAAUAAAGAUUAAAAAAUUUCAAAUUAUACUUGAGUUAAAAUUUAAUUCUUUUUUAUUGUUUAAAGUAAUUUAUUUAUAAUUAUUUUAACCCAAUUAGAUUUAUUUUUUUUAAUGCUUGUUCUAUGACAGAAUUGGUCCUCAAAGUUUAAUUAAGCUUGAGAUGGAUACUCUCAGCAAUUUAUUACCUAUUUUAUUAGAAUCUAAGAGGAAAAGAGAGUUGCGAUUUGUAUGUGUAGAAAGAAAAUGUCAAAACGAAAUGUUAAUGUCACUUGUAGAGAGAGAGUUGGGACUGAUGACCAUAUACAUUUUUCCGCCCCUAAUAAGAGCUUGCUUGACGAUAGUGAAGAACUAAUGAGACUGAGGAUCUGCAAUUUAGUCAUGAAAAAUUAGUGACUAAAUACAACUAAAUUUCAGUUUUCUCUUUCUAAUUUCUUUGGGAUCCAGAAAAAAACAUUUCCCCCUCAAUUUUCUGUUUGCAAGGGGGUAACUGUAAGCACAGUCUGAUUUUAUUUUCAGGGAAUAAUAUCGGUGAACCACCGUCGGGAAAAAUUUGAAGUCUAAACAGGUCAUUCACAGAUAAGGCCAAAGAGUAAAACAGGUCGUUCAUCGUGCGUUUGGAUUCCUUUCAUCUUGUUAAUUAUUGAAGACAAGAUGAAAACGCAACUAAUGGGGGCCGUGUAUGGUGUAUAAAAUAGCAUUAAUUGUUGUCUGUGUUUGUUGUUUAAUGCUAUUUUAUACACCAUACAUGGCCCCAAUUCCAAUUAGGGGAAUUCAAUAUUUUAAUUUUUUGCAAGAUGACUUUCAUCUAUCUCAUUGGCAGGCCGGCCAAGACAGUAAUCAUCCAUUUCAUCUUAUGAAUUAUUGAAGACACGUAGCUGUUCGACGCCUGCACUUUUCAAAUCUGAAGAGCAAUUAGACAAUAUUUCUAUUUCAAAUUGGGGCCACACUCCAAAAACAUUGCAAUAAUUCUCUGUUUUAUACCUAAUAUUGCGCAAUCAGAUAGAAAAAAGGGUCGGCUGCAUGAUUUUUCCAACUUUUGUUUUAUUUUUUCUCUUUUCCACGGGCAUGGGCCCCGACCACCACAAAAUAAUUUGAGAAUGUUAUAUUUAACAAUUCUCUUUUUGUCGUGACAUAAUGGACUAAAACGGAAUCACAACUUUUUCAAAUGACCAAAUGGCUUCGCCCAACGUGAUAAUAAAAGGCCAUAUAGAUGAGAAAUGGAUCCAUACGUUAAAGCUAUAUUGAAACAUAUAAUAAAUAAAUAGUCAGGAGAUGAUUUUUAUCAAAAAUUUCACUCGCACGGUCCCGACCAAAUACAAAUUUGUGAUGAUAUUCAUAAUGAAUUUAUACAAUUAGGCGAAAUUACUCUAUAUAGUUCCAUCGAUAUAUAUUAUAUCAUUAAAAAUAUACUAAUAUUUAUAAUAAAAAAAAUUUAUGACUAUUCUAAAUCGACUGUAUUAUAUGUGAACUCACAAGAUUCAUCGAUAGAUUGCACUGAGCUUUUUGUUGCAGUUUACAAAUAUUUUGUUACUAAUUAUCUUAAGAGCGGCAAGUAACUAAAUACAAAUGUAAGAAAUUUUACAAGUGCUGAUGCUGUGUACUCCGCAGAAAGCUAGCCCACGACGGUGACUCCUGUGGGGACUCCUUCAAUUUGCAGCACAAAUUGACAUUGACUUGAGGGUAAAAAUUAAAAUAUCUCCAAUUAGUAUAAGAAGAAUCCAAACAUGCUUGAAUGAACAUUCUCUCAGAAUACAUAAAACCUACUUUUCUCAGAGCAUUUUAGCAGCAAGAAAAGCAAUUGCAUCAUUUACCAUUUGAUCUAAUAUCAGAAUGGCUCAUGCGCUCGUUUCCUCUCUCUUGGACCAGCUGAAUUCCAUUGCUCAAGAUCAGGUGAAAGAAAAGUGGAGGCUUGUGACGGGUGUCGAACAAGAAGUGGGAAAGCUUACCACCAAUCUUCAAGCCAUUCAAGCUGUGCUGGAAGAUGCAGAGCAGAGGCAAAUGAAGCAGGACAAAGCUGUUACUUUUUGGCUAGAUCAGCUCAGAGACGCAUCCUACGACAUGGAAGAUGUGUUGGAAGAGUGGAUCACUGAAACACGGAAAUUGCAGCUUGAUGAGCGAGGCGAUGAUGAUGAUGAUGAUAACGACAGUGCUUUUGUUACUUUUUUGACGAAGGUAUGUUCCUUCUUUCCUGUUGCCUCAAACUGCUUUGGUGGUUUCAAACAACUCAGCCUUCGUCAUGAUAUUGCUGUCAAGAUUAGAGAAAUCAGUGAAAAGCUAGAUGUUAUUGCCAGACAAAAAGAUAGUUUCAAAUUUGUUGAGAAUGUGAGUAACAAUGUUAGGAAACCAGAGCGAGUGCGAACCACCUCCUUGAUUGAUGAGGGAGAGGUUUUUGGUAGAGUUGAUGAGAAAAGUGAGCUAUUAAGCAAGUUGUUGGGUGAAAGUAGUGAACAACACCCUCAUAUCAUCUCACUGGUUGGGUUCGGGGGUAUAGGUAAAACCACUCUUGCACAACUAGCCUAUAAUAAUGAUGAGGUGAAAAGAAAUUUUGAAAAAGUUAUAUGGGUGUGUGUAUCAGACACUUUUGAGGAGGUUAGGGUGGCCAAAGCAAUCAUUGAAGGUCUAGGCGAGUCAAAAGAAGCUUCUGAUUUAAGCGAAUUCCAAUCUCUUAUGAGCCAUAUCUAUAGAUCAAUUGGAGGAAAAAAAAUUUUUCUUGUCUUAGAUGAUGUAUGGGAUGGGGAUUCCAAUAAAUGGGAUCCAUUCUUCUUUUGUCUAAAGAAUGGUCUCCACGGAAGUAAAAUUUUGGUUACCACACGUAAUGAGUCAAUUGCACGUAUGAUGGGAACAACAGAGUCAGAUACUAUCUCCAUUGAACAACUGGCUGAAGAGGAAUGCUGGUUGUUUUUCAAGCAGUUAGCAUUUUUUGGUCGCUGUUUCGAGGAUUGUGAAAAAUUAGAACCAAUCGGGCGAAAAAUUGCAUGCAAGUGCAAAGGCCUGCCUCUUGCUGCAAAGGUAAUAGGGAAUCUCUUGCGCUCUAAAAUUACAGUAAAAGAGUGGCAAAGAAUUUUAGAUAGUGAAAUGUGGAAAGUAGAAGAGAUUGGGCAAGGUCUUUUGGCUCCUUUGUUGUUGAGUUAUAACGAUUUGCCCUCCAAUUCGAUGGUAAAACGGUGUUUCUCAUAUUGUGCUGUCUUUUCAAAAGACUACAGUAUGAACAAAGAAGAAUUGAUUAGUUUGUGGAUGGCUCAAGGUUACUUUAACGUAGAAGAAGACGAAGAAAUGGAGAUGAUUGGAGAAGAGUAUUUCAACAUCUUGGCAACACGCUCUUUCUUUCAAGAGAUUGAAAAAGAUGAGGAUGAUGAUGAUUUUAUGAGCUGUAAGAUGCAUGACAUAGUACAUGAUUUUGCCCAAUUUGUAUGUAGAAAAGAAUGUUUGUGGCUAGAAAUUGAUGGUAACAAAGAAUCAGUCAUAAAUUCUUUUGAUGACAAAGUCCGUCACCUAGGAUUAAAUUUUGAAGGAGGCGCUCCACUUCCUAUGUCCAUUCAUGGACUUAAUAGAUUGCGGACCCUCCUAAUUGAUGAUGGAAGUUUUCUCUAUCCAUCUCUUCAUAGUAGCAUCCUUCCGGGGUUAUUUAGUAAAUUGGCGUGUUUAAGGGCAUUAGUUAUAAGGCAAUCGUCCUCAUUUUCUGAUCCUAGCCCAUAUUUGAUUACAGAAAUUCCAGAAAAUGUUGGAAAAUUGAUACAUUUAAAAUAUCUUAAUUUGUCUAAAUUAUGUAUAGAGAGACUGCCUGAGACUUUGUGUGAAUUAUAUAAUUUACAAAAGCUAGAUAUUAGGGGUUGCGUAUAUCUUAGAGAAUUGCCUGCGGGGAUUGGGAAGUUAAUGAACAUGAGGAGUUUACUGAAUGGUGAAACUGAUUCGUUGAAGUACCUACCAAUAGGGAUUUCUAGAUUGACCAGCCUUCGAACAUUAGAAAAGUUUGUUGUGGGUGGAGGUGUUGAUGGUGGCGGCACGUGUAGGCUUGAAUCUCUGAAAAAUCUUCAACUCCGUGGUAAAUGUUGUAUAGAAGGGCUGAGUAAUGUGUCGCAUGUAGAUGAGGCUGAGAGGUUACAACUUUACAAUAAGAAAAACCUCCUUCGUUUGUAUCUUGAGUUUGGUGGAGCCGUAGAUGGGGAAGGCGAAGCAGGGAGGAGGAAGAACAAUGAGAAAGAUAAACAACUUCUUGAAGCCUUACAACCGCCUUUGAAUGUAGAGGAGUUAAGGAUUAUAUUCUACGGAGGCAACAUUUUUCCCAAAUGGUUGACUUCACUAACCAACCUAAGGGAUUUAAUACUUUUCUUCUGCGUUAACUGUGAGCAUUUGCCUCCUUUAGGAAAAUUGCCUCUGGAAGAACUCGGACUAUUGAACUUGAAAAGUGUAAAAAGAGUGGGAAAUGAGUUUUUGGGAAUAGAAGAAAGCACUGAGGAUGAUCCAUCUUCAUCUUCAUCGUCAUCAUCAGUUAUUGCCUUCCCCAAAUUGAAAUAUCUCGAAAUUUGGGGAAUGGAAGAAUUGGAAAAGUGGAAUUACAGGAUUACAAGAAAGGGAAACAUCUCCAUCAUGCCACGUCUUU
RNAcentral lists this long non-coding RNA (58259 nucleotides) under Citrus x clementina. RNAcentral's name for it is "Citrus clementina (C. clementina) long non-coding RNA (CCLE_LNC002474)". The stretch from base 33072 to 33180 matches the Rfam family "Plant small nucleolar RNA R71". Lineage: Eukaryota; Viridiplantae; Streptophyta; Magnoliopsida; Sapindales; Rutaceae. The record is from RNAcentral.